UCAACGAUCCACACCGUUAAAACUGAUCUAGGGUAUUUAAAGUUUUUAGAAAUAAAAUUUUAUAUUUUUUCGACAUCGUUUACUUUAUGAUCAAAAUAUUUUAAAAUUGUCAAUUUUCAAUGGCUAUUAUGACGAGUUUGGAGUUUAACGGUGUAGAAGAAUCUAAAUUUCUUCAAAUUUUGAUAGAAAAUACUUUAAACUAUAUAGAUUAAGGUUAACAUUCUUGAUCUUGAAUUUAAAAGUUCUAUACUUAAAUUUUAAAGAGUAUUCAAUUCCCACCGUCCAUUUUGACAUAAUUUAUUUACUAAGUAAACGAUAUCGAAAAAAACUAAAAUUUUAUUCCUAAAAACUUCAUAUACCUUAAAUCAUAUUUAACGGUCUCGAUCGUUGAUUUGAAUGCCCUAAGAUCGAAAACAACACUAUAGUAUGGGAGCUCCCGUACUAUAGAUAGUAUAGUAGCCUAAUUCUAUAUAUAUAUAUAUAUAUAUAGUUUUAUUAGAUUUGCGUGACAAGAGCUGUACGGCAAAUGUGAGACCUAUUCAUAUCUUUGUUCAAGAAACAUAGAAACACAUGUCACAAAGUUAAUUAUAUAAAUUUAUAUAAAUAAGUAAGUUGGUUCAUAUAUGUAAUUAAGACAAAUUUCUUGUUUAAUUACACCUCAAAUAUGUCAUUAAAAAACAAACUAGAUCAGUAAAGUAAACGAAGGAAUUAAUCGCCAAUUUAAUUCCUUGAACACAAUCUCUUCUUCAUCAAAUUCUUUUAUUUUCAUUAUUUCUUGAUUAAAUGGAUUCCUCAUUCUUCAAGGUUGAUCACUAAUGUGCAUUUGUUUCCUAUUGGAUCCAGCUUUGUUAGCUAAACUCUUUUUAGUAUACGUUACUUGUGUACACAAAUCUAAGCAUGUAGAACUAAAAUUAAUGCACCUCAUUGUCAACAUUACCAAUCCAUUUCAUAUAUACACUACCGGCUAUUUAAAAGAACUUAGCUAAGAUGUUCUUUGUUCAUUAAUUAAAAGAACUUAACUAAGUUGUUCUUAAUUUGUUCAUUUAAUUUUCAUUUAAUGAGUACUUCUAGAUAUAAAAAACAACGUAUACUUUAAUUUGACUUAUCAUUUUUUAAAAAUAUUUCUGAUCAGUCGUAAGCUUUGCUAAUUUGAUUGGCCAUAAUUUGAUGAAAUGUUGUUUCAGAAGUGCUGUUGGAAGAAAUAAAAUGUAAAAUUUUUCUCUACAACUUUUGUUUUUUUGGCAAAAACAAACCUCCAAAUGGACCAAGCCAAAGCCUCCAUUUUAAAGCCAUAGAAUCAAAUUUCUAUUUUUUAUCACAGCAAAAAAUUUAGAUUUUUUAUAAGACAGAACAAGCAUUAAAUUGGUGUAAUUAAGUAAAAGGUACAAAUGUGGGACAAUUUCCCUCCACAUCUGCUAAGGCCUACUUUGAUACUACAAAUAACUAAAUAUACAUGCUUUCAAAUUUUAGAAUGCUAAGAAAAUAUCAAAACUGCUUACAAUCUUUUUUUUUUUUCUAACACUACAAAAAAUUACAAUGCACUACCAUCAUCGAAGUAUUAUACAAUCGCAACUUUAUAUUGUUGAAAGAGGAAAGAUAAAAAGCACUUUUAGGCCUUGUUUGGAUGCGCAGUAAAAAAAUUUCGUGGAGUUUAAAUAUCAUGAUUUUGCUCUAGCUAGCUAAAAUAGAAAAUUUUGUAAUUGAAAAAAAAUUUAUGAUCACUUUAAUUUUUAAACUGUUUGGAUUCACAUCGUACGAUUUCAUUGGAUUUAUGCAAAUUGAAAUUUGAAAAUUAAAAAUUGAAAAUUAAUUUUAGAUUUUAAAUUUUAGAACUUGCAUGAUACAGCGUUUGGUGUAAGGGAGCUCAAGAAUGAUGGAAUUUUCUUUCUUUGGUUAAAGUGGAUUGUAGUUUACUCUAUUUUUCGAAGUAUUAUUUAACUAUACUUUAAAAAUUAUGUUAUUUUUUUCUCCCAAACAUUUCACAGGAUAAUUUUUCUGCCGGUUUAGUAUAGUUUAACUAUACUAUAUUUUUAGAGGCAUUCAAACAUGGUCUUAAACUUUUUUUUUUUUUCUACCGGUAGAGUAAAGUUUAACUAUACUAUACUUUUAGAGGCAUUCAAACGCGGUCUUAAUCUUCUUUUUUUUUGAGAGAGAGAGAUAGAUAGUAUGCUAUCCGCUUCGUAUAUUUCAUUUAGAAAUAAACUUAGUUAGAAAUGUGAAUCAACUAGAAUUCAAACUUGGGACUUCAGAUACCAACCACUAAGUCCUUUGUCAAUUGCGCUAGGGACGGUCCGUAUGGUCUUAAUCUUAAUAUAUAUUGUCGGCUAGCUACUACAUACUAAAAGUAAAUAAAAUAAAAAGAAAAAAAAAAAAAGAUGAUACAAAAUGACAAUAUAGUAGUGAUGAGAGAUGGGGCCAAGUAAUCAAAUUGUGUGAUCCAACAACUGGGGGAGAUCCAUGAAUAAAACAGCGUUGGGAAUCGAAAAGAGAGGUCAAAGAAAGGAAAGUGGCCUUUCGCUGCGGGCAAACGGCUUGUCGGGGAAGCGGGGGGUGGUGCAGAAAUUGGAAAUAAUUUUAGGGGCUGCAUUUGCAUGCAUUUUUGCAUGGCUACAAUGGCUCGUCCCACCCACCGCGUACGGCCUUCUCUCAAAUUAAUAUUGACCCUUGCAGUGACCGAGAAGGUGCCGACUACUGACCGUCCAUAGCGCAAGUGGCAAAGUUAUACUUGAUGAUUGGUAUCCGAAAUUCCAAGUUCGAAUUCUAAUUGAUUCAUAUUUUUAGCUAAAUUUAUUUCUAAAAAAAAUAAACGAAGCAGAUAGUAUGCUACCUUUCUCUUCCAAAAAAAAGAAAAGAAAAGAAAAGUGCCGACUAAAAGGGACCGGCAGAAGAAUUAUCGAGCAUAUCUCAAAUCCAUACACGCCACACGAGGACAGUGAAAAUAGGAUCGAGAGAGUAAUCCAGCAUAUUUCAAAUCCACACACCACAUGAGCACGGCGAAAAUAAAAUCUUCCGUGAAUGAAAAUAAACGAGAACGAUCGUAGAAAACAAGUACGAUAAUAAUAAAAUAAUAAUACGGUCGAAUACAAAAACACAGAAUUUAUGUGAUUCGGCUAGCAAUAUAUCAACCUACAUACGUACGUCCAUGGGUAAAAUCAUCUCUCUUCCAUUAAUUCAUGACACAAAAAUAUAAAAAAUAAAAUCAGAUUAUAAGAAACUCUCUUCUAAAAGCUCUUCGCGUUUUACUUUUAACUAAGGCAUUUAUAAUGAAGCUUUAAACUCUAAAAGAUGAAUUACAAGAGUUUAUAGCCCUUAAACUCCAAUUCUAGUAUAAACGCUCGCCUCCGCCUAUCCGAGUUUCUAAUUCGCUUUUAGUUGUCAUUCUCCUAGCUAAAAAAUUCUCUCCAGAAUGUUUCUAAACUAUUCGUAAUCUUUAAAAAAUAAGAUUAGAUUAAAUUGGAGUCAAAUCCAAUAUAUCCAGCCCAUCACGUCACUCCGGUAUGGAAUACUUGGGAGUACGGGCACUGAAACUUUUCUAAAAUUUCAGUACUAGUACUCAUAGUCACAUAUCGAUACACGAUACAAAAAAUAGUUUUUCAUAACUUCGAAUUCUAAGGUACUCUUCAGUAUUGAUAUUAAAACUUCAAGUUUCGACACUAGGCAUCCAGAAAUCUUAAAUUUUUGACUUUUUCACCAUAUAAUAUCGACUCAAAAUAUAGCUAUACAUAAUCCAACACUUUAAGUGUCAUCUAACGCUAUUAUACAGAAAAAAUAAAUAAAUAAUCAAAACAAAAUCAUGUAAGACAUGAAUGCUACGGUACCAAAGUGUGGUUUUUUUUUUUUGCGUAAUCGGAAAGGUAGAAGUUUGAUUUUUGCUCCUUAAAAGUCUUGACGUUCAUGACUUUGUGUAAUAAUAUUUUUUUUCUAUAAAGUAAUUUAGUUUAUUUUGAAAAAAAUGACUUACAGGCCGAAUACUUUUCUCUUAUAAGCAUUUGACCAUAUUUCACGAUUUGUUUUAUCACAUUAUGCACCGAUUUAUUAGAUAUUUAUCAUGGAUGUGAGUAAUAGUAUUAAGGCUAUUUUCGAGCCUUAUAUGUUGAACAACCUAUGCAUUUACAAAGUCAUACUAGUAUGUACGGUUUACACGUCAAUUUGCAAUUCUUCGCAAAAAUAAGCAAAAUAUUUUUCUAUUGCACUUUCCUUUCGCGCCUUACGUACUUUUCGCAACUUGUUUUGGCCUCUUAGUCCUUUUUUUCUCUUUUAUUUGCAUUUACUUAUAUUUGAUAGUUGAGAAAUCCAAAAUAUCUGCUAUAAUUAAAAAGAAAUUAAAAAUGACAGUUAAUGCUCAAAGACAAAUUAAUAUUUAAAAUUUGGAGCUUCUAAUCUUUUUUGCAUAGAUGAUGAGAAGCUGUUGGGAAGAAUCUAACAUAUAAUGCUUCUCAAUCCUACUUCUAAAAGAGCACUUUAUGGAAUAUCAGGAGCAAUCAAACAAUUGUAUGAAUUGUACACCAAUCAAAUUUUGACCAUAUAACUUCAAAACUUUUAUAUAAUACUAUUAUUAUUAUUAUUAUUAUUAUUAUUAUUAUACUUUAAUCACUAAAAUAUCUUUAAUUAGUUUCUAUGUUAUAUUGUUAUCUCUCUAAUAUGUAUGGUGUGGAUAGUACAGAGGUACAUCCUGAUGAGUCUUGUGAGGCCACGUGUACACAUAUAUGACUGUUGUAGAAAAUUUCGAUUUUCUUUUUCAUUUUAGUUUUUGUGAUGGCAAUCUAAUGGGCAUUGCUGUCGUAAACGUCGUACAUUCUAAACUCUAAACCCUAAAUAAGAAAACAAAAUAGCUAUGACGAUCAAAUGCAGGCCCAUUUUUUUGAUCUGUAGUGCCACAAAAACCACCCAAAUUCCGACCAUUGAGAUCAUCCCCCGUGAGUUGAUUAAGACUUCCAAAUUCACACCCCUGCAAGAACUUCACUAAGGGGCAGUUUGGUUCGAAAUAAUUAUAAAUACAGAAUAGGUAGAUAUAUAUAUAUAUAUAUUAAAAAUAUAGUAAUUAUUAUUAUAUAUAUUUUUUAUUUGGUUGAAUGUAGCAGAAAAUAUUAUAAAUGUUUUGUUUGGUUCCAUAGGAUUGAGAAAUAUAUUUACAAAGUUUUAUCAUUUUAUCUUAUACAUGGAUGGCGAGGCGAGAUUACCCCCUACAUAAGGAAGAAGAAAAAAAAUCUUUUAAAAGAUUAUUAGAAAUGUAAAUUUAUUUUUGUUUAAAGUUACUUUUUUCAAAUACUGCAAUUAGAACUACUAUCAAUUUGAGUGUUCCGACUGCUAUAGUUGAAUCUCUUUGUGCAGUUGCAUUAAGAUACAGCAGAAUAAAUAAUAAAUUUAAAUUUAUAUGUAACUACAACUAUAAUAUAGGUACAAUAUUUAUGUGUAACCCAAAAACUCUAAAAUAGCACCAGAAAUUAGUGCAUCACAUGAAAAUUAAUGGUCUUUGCCCAUGGACUGUUUGCCAUUUUUGUCCCCAUGGACACAAUGAUCUUUUUGGCGAUUGGACCUAAUACCAACAUUCAAUCAAAUAACUAAAAAAGAAAAAAAAAAACCCAAAAGAAAUUUAGAAAGAAAGAAGCCAAAAAUGAAAAUGUGGCAGUGACACGGUAUGGUGCUCCUAACCAACCAAAUUGUAUUCCUAAGUUUCAUCUUUUCUAUCAUUCUAAUCAUAUAUUUUUUCAUCCAAUAUAUAUAGAACUAGGUUGGAAUGCUAUUAAUAGCACCAAAUUAUUGGUGCUAUUAGAUUUUCGGCCAUUGGAUGAAGAAAUGUACCGUUAGAAUGAUGUUGGCCCCUCAGAGUAGAGUGAGUUAUUGGUUUAAUAGUAUAAUCUAACGGAUAAAAAUAAUCAAAAGGUUAAAUCAAAUGGCGAAAAACUCAAUAGAACCAAACACUUGGUACUAUCGAUAGUAUCCCAAUCGGAUUAUAUAUAUAGAGAGAGAACUGGGCUGUUAUACUAUCUAUAGUACCAGAGUUUCAAUAUUAUAGUCUCGUUUUUUAUCUAAGUGUACGCAAAUCAAUGAUCCACAUAGUUAAAUAUAAUUUAGGGUAAAUAAAGUUUUUCAAAAUAAAAUUUUAAUUUUUUUCAACAUCGCUUACUUGAUAAGUAAAUUAUAUCAAAAUGAAUGGUAGAAAUUGAACAAUCAUUAAAAUUUGAAGAUAAGACUUUUAAUUCAAGAUCAAAAAUGCUGAUCUUAAUCUAUAUAGUUUAAAAUAUUUUCUAUCAAAAUUUGAAUAAAUUUAGAUUUUUCUGCACCGUUAAAAUACAAACUCCUCAUAGUAGCGAUUGAAAAUCAACGAUUUUGAAAUAAUUUAAUCAUAAAGUGAAUUAUGUCGAAAAAAUAUAAAAUUUUAUUUCUAAAAACUUAAAAUACUCUAAAUUAGUUUUAAUAGUGUGGAUCGUUAAUUUAAACAUCCAAAGAUCGAAAACGAGACUAUAGUACUGAAGUCUCUAUACUAUAAAUAUUAUAGUAACCUAGCUCUCUCUCUCUCUCUCUCUCUCUCUCUCUCUCUCUCUCUCUAUAUAUAUAUAUAUAUAUAUAUAGAGUUGGUCUGGGCUACUAUUAGUAGCAAAAUUCCAUUGUUGCUACUAAUUUUUUANAUAUUUCUGAAAAAAAAAAAAGAUUGGUUGAGGCAUAAAUAUUAUGGUGUCAGCUACUAUAAAGGAGACGACAUGAUGCAGUCAAUUUAACAUUAGAGUUUACGAAAAAAAUGUGACCUAGCCAAACUUAACAUUAGAGUUUAUGAAAAAAUGUGACCUAGCCAAACUGGACUAAGAAUCUCAUUGAGUUCAACAAUUUUUACAAAUAGAGUAGAAAAAAUUUUUAAAUGAUCAUAACUAUUCGCUUCAACAUCCGCUUUCAGCAUGCAAUCUCAAAUUGAAAAAUACUUUUCAAAAUCUAUGCGUCGAAAAAAAGGCCAUUAUGACUGAGUUUGGAUUCAAAUUUAAUUAACUGUUUAGACCUCUGUUUUUACAUUUCUAGAUUAUGUUUGAAAAGUUUUGUAUAUUUUCUAAUUUAAGUCUAACUAUUUGGUUAUUUCUGAUCAAUUUAAGUUUAAAAAUAUAUUAGAAUUUGUUAUCUUCGAUCACAGUAGAAUUCGAAUAUCGAUCUUAAUUAUAUAUAUGUGACAUUCUAUUAAUAUAAUUAGUAUUUUUCAGAGUUGAUUAAUAAUUUUUUUUUUGUCAAAUAAUUAUGUUUUUCGUGUCUCUCUUUCCGUCGAUACGCUUCGUCAUCUUAAUCACGCAACUUUUAGAUAUGCGUCACCACCUAAUGAAAAGGAAAAAAAAAAAAGUGUCGAGGAUCUCUGUACUAUUUCUAUACGAAAUUUAGUCCCAGAAUUUAGGUCUUGUUUGGUGUCAACGUAUAUAAAUAUUCUAUAAAAUGGUGGAGGAGUGGACUUUAAUAACUAGAUUCAUUGGAUUAAAAAUAUUUGCCAAACAAAAACUUAGUUAAUAAAUUUUCAGAUACAUUGCAUUUUACUUUCUGAACACAAUUUUUUUGUGAUAUACUUAAAUGAGUUAAUCAUUAUAUAUGGUAGAAUAGUAAAGCUUUUAUUGUAUAUUGAAAAAUAAAUUUGUUCAUGACAUGCAUGAACAUAACAAAACCUUAAUUUGCAUAAAUACAGUAUUUAGAUACAUGGAUAUCAUUUUAUGUCUAUUUUUAGUUAUUUAAAAACUUUAUAAUAUUUAGUAGAUGAGUGUGGUCAAAUUGCUAGAAAGGUUUAUUAUUUAAUUAUUUCGAUACAUGAAUAUCUAUGCUUGUAUUUGUUUUACUUAUUUAUGAACUUUAUAAUAUUUAGUAGAUGAAUAUGGUCAAAUUGUUAGAAAGGUAUAUUAUAUUAAGGUUUCGAAUCACUUGCUUGGAAUAAGAUAAAUCAUCUUACAGAUAAAAUUUAUUGUGCUACUAAAUUAUGGAUGUCAAGACCUUCUAGAAAGCUAAAAAUCAAACUCAUGGCUUGCUUUUUCAUAUACUAUUUUUCGACGUUGGAAUAAGCUACCUAAUAAUAAAUUAUUCAGUAUAAAAAAAUAUUUCUUUAUGAUUGAAAGUUAGAAGUUUGAAGUUUACUUGUUGAAAGAUAUUAACAUUCAUGAUUUGAGAGAAUAACAUACUUCACAUGCUAGUAAUUUAUCUCGAGCUAGAAAAAUAAUUUGGAGAUCGGAUAUGAUAUUCCAAUUUAGAUAUUUAAUCGCAUUUCCCAUUUUCCAAAUACUAGUGCCCUAUUUGGAUGCACGAGCAUUUUAUUCGGCAUAUCAUUAUCGAUUUACUCAAAAAACAUAUAAUAUUAGACAGAUGAUGAGUAUAAUUAAAUAGGCUAAAUUAUAGAAAACCCUCCUAUUCAUACCCGCUUUUUCACUUUCCCUCCCGUCAUUUAAAAAUCUACACUUUGCCCUCUUAUAAAAUAAAAAAUGUUUACUUCACUCUCUGCCGUUAGUGCUCCGUUAGGAUUCCGUUUAUAAAAUAUUAUUAUAUAUUUUUUAUACCAAAAAUACCCUCAACCUCCUUUCCUGCCGCCUUGCCCUCCUCCGCUGUCUCGCCCUUGCCCACAUCUCCGUCCACGCCCACAAACACCCCCUCGCCCUCCUCCGCCGCUUCGCCUUCGCCCUCGUUGCCCAUACCCACCUCUCUAUCCACGCCCAAUUCGAUUUCCUCCCUACUGUUGCCGGAAAGGAGGGGCGACAAGGAUGGAUGAGGAGAAGGGGAGCAGGUGGAGAAGAAAAUUGAGAGAACCGCUGCCGAUUGAGGCGCGAACUGCAGCCAAUCGAGACGGCGGAUGAGCGAGAUGAGAGAGGAGACGAAAAUUAUGAGAAGCAAAUUGGUCAUUUUGUCAUCACAAUUCACACCGUACGCCUCUGUGAAUAAUUUUUAUUUUAUAAGGGGCAAAGUAUAGGUUUUUAAAUGACAGGGAAAAAAUAAACAAGUGGAUAUUGACAGAAAAAUUUUAUGUAAUUUAGCCAAUUAAAUAUCUAGAAUAUACACUAUAUUUAGUCUUUAAGUUGAUUUUUGAAAUAAAAUAAAUCACAUCGUAAAAAAAAUAUAUUAUCCUACCAAUUAAUGGAUGUAAUGAUUUUUUUUAGCAGCAAAAAUCAAAUUCCUACAUAUUCCUACAUUCUAAUCACACAAAAAAAAUUAAACCGAAUAAGUUAUAUUCUGGCAUUCACGCAGAGACUAUAAACUUUCUAAGUAAAUAAAAAAAUAUAUAUUAAACAAAAUAUUCAUACAUAUUGUGACAUUCAAACAAGCCUAUAAAAAUAAGUAAAAAUGCAUAAAACUUAUGUAAACUUUUGGUCAUUUUGAAUUAGUUACCCAACCUUUCAAAAUUUGGUUUCACUAUCCAAUUUUUUAAUUAGUUUGAUUUGAAUGGCACUUUUAACUUCAAAAUUUAUGUUAAUUAUUAUUUAUUUUAAUGAAUAAAUAGUUACAAAAAUUAUAUGAAAUAUCCUAAUUAAACCUGCAAAAGUAAACAAAAAAAUUUAAAUUUUAAAGUCAAAGUGUCAUUGACCGACUCAAAGUAAAUAAAUUGAAAGAUUCAGGAAUAUUGGAGCCAUGGUGACGCCCACAGUGCCCUCACCCCUUCCCCUCAACUUUUAAAAAUUACAUAUAAGCCUUUUAUAGUAAAAAUUAAAAUAUUACAAAUUUUAGUUUUAGGAGGGGCCAAAUUAUUUUUUUUAUAUAAUAAAACGUUUGUCCCAAUCUUUUCCGAACUCCUCGACCUUUUUUCUUCGGCUUUUAUAGUCUUGCAUCUCCUUAAACCUAUUAUCGCUACAAUGGCUAGCAAUAGAUGGCCAGUAAAUCUGCCAACCUUUUUUUUCUUAUUUUUUUUCUACCAAACUUAAAUCCUUACAUUUUUUAACCUUAUAUAAUUUAUGCAGGGACAAAACCAUAGUUCAAUCAGGAGAGAGGCCAAAAUAUGUACAAAUAAAAAUUUUAACAGAUAAAUAAGAUUUUAGCUACUCAAAUUUUAAAUAAAAAAAAUUUAAUGAUUAGAUAAUUAAUGUUGAAAAAUAUUAAAUUUAUUUCUUUAAUUUACACUCGCUUAACUUCUAAUUAUUUUAUUGUAGUAUUCCAUUCAAAUAACUUAAAAAUUUUACUAAAUCUAAUAAUUUAGUUAGAAUUUUUUUUUCAAAUCUAAUAAUUUAGUUAGAAUUUAUUUUUUUAAAAUAUUUGUUAGUAAAAUAAUAACAAGCAAUGACUAAUAUCUAAGCUAUUAAAGUUAGCAUACUAUUUUAUUUAGUUAAAUAAAUUAGCUCAUCAAAAAUAAUUAGAAAAUUUAGAAUGUAUAAAUAAAAUAUUUAAAGUUGAAAGGACUUAUUUCAAAAUAUACUAUAAUUAAGAGGUUCGUAUAUUUUCAGCUAUAAAACACAUAAGAAGAGAGAGAGAGCUUUAUACUAGUACUAAAACCUGUUACGACAAGCGCACAAACGGAAACGAAAAUGACGAAAAAAAAUAAACAAACCACAAAAAAAAAAAAAAAAAAAAAAAAAAAAAAAAAAGAACACACAAAUUUACGUGGAAAGUCCUUUGCAGGAAAAAUUACGGACGUGGGAGGAGAAAAAUUCACUAUCGAACGAAAAAAGAAAUACAAUGUUCAAAAAGUGCGACCAACUUCAAUCCGUCGGCUCUAGGGCAAAAACGAGAAAUAAAAUUUUUAACAGGUUUCGGAUCUGAUCCGUACCGCGGGGGGCUCCGCCCCCUGCAUCGACCCGAGCCCUCCGCUACCCACCAGUCCACCACCGACAUUUAUUUUUCCUUCAUAAUUUUAUUUUCCAAUUUGAUCGCACCGCAAAACUAUCGGCGAUUCGAAAUACCGUGCUCGAUUAUCAAUUUCGAGUCACAUCUAACUAAAACUUUUUACAAGAUAAGCCCAUAUAUUUUAAAAGUUAACUUAAAAUUUAUAACCUACCAAAAGACUAUAAAGUAAAUAUUCAAGAGUUGAGGGGUCCCACAUAUUUUAAAGAUUAACUAUAUUACAAAAGGGCUAUAAAGUAAAUAUUGAAAAGUUAAGAAGGGCCAUGGCGCUUUGAGUCUAUAGUGCAUGGUCACUGAAUUUCGGCUUCAUCCCUGGUAAUUAGGAAAUUGAAAAUACUCUGUAAUUACCGACCGUCCCUAGAGCAAGUGGUAAAAGGCUUGAUAGUUUGUACCCAAGACCCAAGUUCGAAUCCUAGUUGAUUCACAUUUCCAGCUAAGUUUAUUUCUAAAUAAAAUAAACGAAGCGGAUAGCGUGCUACCUAUCUCUAAAAAAAAAAAAAAAAAAAAGAAAAUACUCUGUAGUUAAUUCUNAAAAGAAAAUACUCUGUAGUUAAUUCUAACUAGGAGUAGGACAAGUUGGCUACAUUUUUUUGUACGGAGAAAAUAAAAACAGAAGUCUCGAGAGGGUUUGAGCCGGGGGAAGUAACAACUGGGGGAGGUCGCGCUCGAUCGAGAGAGAGAGAGAGAGGGAGGGAGGGAGAAGCGCGCAGAGCGAAAGAGCAAAAGAGCAAAAGUGGCCGCGUCGCUUGGGUGUUGUUGGCCCUUUCACGCUGCUUUGAGCCAGAGCGCUCCCCCCAACCGCGACCCUUUGAAGCCACCCACGGCCCCCCGUUUCUUUAUCUGGCCAUUGGAAAUUCCGAUCCGCCGCUUCACCCCUCCCCACACCCCCUCCAAACCAACUCUUUACCCCUUCAAUUUUGGGCUCCAUUACACCACCACCGCCACCACCACCUUCCCUUCGCCCUUGUAAUUAAUAACUAGAAAAAAAACAAAAAAAGUGCAAAGAUUGUCUAAAUUUUAACACUUUUGCGCGCGCACGUCUCAACUUUUGAUUUUUCUACGUGUUAACGUUCUAGUUACGUGUCCAACAUCUAAUUCUAGUCUCUAGCGCAAGUGAAAAAGAACUUGAUAGUUGGUAUUCGAGAUCCUAAAUUCGAAUUUUAAUUGAUUCACAUUUUCAGCUAAAUUUAUUUUUAAAAUAAAGUAAACGAAGCGGCUAGCCUGCUAACCUAUCUCUCUCAGAAAAAAAAACACAUAAUUCUAUCAGAUUUCAAAAUGUAAAGAAAUUUAUUCUUUCAUCAGAGUUUGCUAAUUCAGAAUGAACAUUGAAGAACAGAUUAUGAAUCUACGUUUGUUUUUCGUUGCUUUUUUUUUUUUUCCUGUGGUAGAAAAAAAAAAAAAAAUUUUUGCGUCUUAACAUUGUGUGGGAAUUUUUAUAAUAUAUACAAGCAAAAUAGCUGUAUAAUAUUUUAUAAAAUUUAGGAGGAUUAAUUGUGUAAAUUGAAAGUUCAGGCGUUCAUUUGUGAAUGAGCUGAAGUUUAGAGAUAUUUGCACAUUUUGUGUCCUAAUUAUUAUUAAUUAACACCCUAUAAUAUGUUCGUAAUUAUAAAUGCCGUUCCAUUUGUUUAGACUUAAUAUACAACAUGAUUAGAUAAUCUAUUUAUAGAAUGUGGUGUUUAACUAUUAGGUUUUAGAGUAUUAAUGGGGGUGGGGGCAAACCCUUUUAGGAUCUCUUGUUUUUGAGAAUAGGUAGCACGCUACCUGCUUUAUUCAUUGAAUAAAUAAAUUAGGCUACAGAGAUGAGACAAUCAGGAUAUCGAGAAGAGGAAAAAAAAAAAAAGAGUCAUAGAGUGUCUUGUUGAUCAGGACCUCUUGUUGAUUAGGACUUUUGACUAGUAGUUUUGUACUCGGAGAAUUUUGUAUUAUUAUAAAAGAGUGGGUGAAAAUAAUAGUACCACAUAUUGUGAUUUUAGCUGAGUUAAAAGUUGCACUCUGUUUGCAAAAGGAAUCUUGCUGUUGCUGGAUAAUGGUGCUGGGAUUAAAAAUACUUUAGGGACAGCCUUGCAAAAUUUUAAUUUGAUUUGGUUUUUAAUUAUGAUGCCAUGCAUGUAUAGGGCCUUGAUUUUAGAUGCGCUGGGUUUUUUAUUAAGUAGUUGUAUAGGAGUUUAAUGGUUGAUAUUCGAUAUCCCAAAUUUGAUUAUCAGAGUUAAUUUCUUUCUAAACAAUGAAAGAAAUUAUCUUUUCUCCCAAAGAAAAGAAAAGAAAUUUUGACAAACUCUUUUAAUGAUGAGAUGGUGAAACAAAUUUUUGACACACUCACUUAAAAGUUCAAAUUUGUUGGUACAUUUGCUCCUGUAUAAAUUUCUCCUUUGUUUGUUUUAACAUAGUCUUUUAAUUUUUUGAGAAAAAAUAAGAAUGCUAUCUGUUUCAUUCAAUAAAAAAUAAAUUUAGCUACAAAAUAUGGAGACAGCCAAGGCCUCAAUAAGAGCGAGAAAAACGCACACACACUCCUAAAAAAAAAAAAAGAAAAACACAUAGAGUAUUUAAGUAUAUAUAAUGCCAGCUGAGAAUUAGGAAUCACUGCAUGGACAGCAGGUGGUUAAGGGUCAAAUGUACACAAGCUUAUUUUAAUUAACUGCAGGAUAUUACUAAUUGAAGCAACUUUUUCAAUAGAGAUACUUGGAUAUCAAGCAUUAAAUAUGGAAAGAGGAAAUAAGUUUUAUCUAUUUAUUUAUCAAGAUUAUACAUUGAUUAUGACGCAUGUUGUGUUUUGAAGCAUUUUGUUUAAGCAUCAAAACUCCAAAUUCAUUUUAUAUAUUCCACUAGAAUUUACUUCUCGAGUAGAAAAGAUGUUAUAAAUAUAAAGUAUACAGAGAAGCUAAUAUUACACCUUGCAAGAUUAAGUCCAUUGGGUAUGUAUUAAGAGAUUAAACUAAUUAAGCAAGUAUUUUAGAUUAAUUCCUUUCCUCAUUAAUCUAUGACUCAGCAAAGGUAUGACUCCUUAAUUUAGAAUAAGGAGAAAGAACCCACCCACAAUAAAUGGUGACAGGGGUAAAGGCAUGAUUCCAAACACAUCAUUUUAGAGGUAGUUCAAUUUGGAUACUUCUUGAUAAAGUUGAAUAUCUUGGAAGAUUUUAAAGGUGUCAUUAAUAACAAUAGGUCUUUCAUAUAUUUUCUGAUGAGACAUCUGAAUCGAUGUUCAAUACGAUUAAAUAUAAAUUUAGGCAUUUUAAUUUCAACAAACCAAAUAUUUCAUAUAACAGUGUGGAUCAUUAUUCCCACCAUCCUAUCUUUGAAAAUUAGUAUACAACGUGAAAGACUUGCUAUUAAUUAGGUUCACCUUUUUUUUUUGUUUUUCUUUUGUUUUUUGUUUGGAAAUAAGAGAAGAAAACUAGCUCCACUUCAGAAAAGUUUAUCACUAUUUAUUACUAACAUAAUCACUAUUCAUUACUCCUUAAAAGUUUUGUAUCCGAGUGCUUAAUUGUUAGUACUUAAGUUUUAAGUUCGAAGUUUAGUUACUGCACAUUGUUAGUUAAGUCCAUUUAAAAUAAAAUGAACAAAACAAGUGGCGUAUUAUUUUUUCCUCUGAAAACAAAAAUAAAUAGUUUGUAUAAACCCUAAAACUCACAAUAGUGUUAAGUGAAUUUUAGCUUAAGAAAAUUUCAUCUAAAGCAAGAAUCCACCGUGUCGUGCCGAACCGUUCCUACAAGAUACCGGCACGAUAUAGAUCUCGUGCCGAUGGCAUAGCUCAAAACCCUCUAUUCUUUAAUUUAGCAAGUAAUUUGCUCAAUAAAGUUCAAAAGAUGUGAUAAAAAGAUAUAAUAAAUAGUUAGAAUAUUUUGUUGCUAAAGAAAAUAAAUAUUUCAUGCUAUUAUGUGUCGGCACAUAAGAAUUUUUUUGACCGACACGCAUCGGCACGAUUCAGCACACACCAUGCUGUACCGUGCCAGUAAGUUUCCAGCACGACCCGUGCCACGGCACUCAAAUAAAGUAUCUAAAAAAUACAACAAAAGAACAAUAAUUUUUUUUGAAAACCACUAACUAAAAGAAUAUUGCUAGAUUCUUUGCCUCCUCCUGGAUGCUUGGAAGCUAUUGCCAAUAAACAAAUAUUUCAAUUAGAAUUAUACAAAACAAUUCAUUUCCUUUUGUUGUACACCUCCCAUACAUCUCCUUAUACAUCAUUAAAAGUAUAAGAUAUUUUCCCUUCUCCAUUAAUCAGAAACUCUAUUUUAGGCCUCAUUUAAUGCCCACUUUUCUAGUAGGCCCUCAGAUCUUUCCAGUCCAUUCCAGCAGCAACUAAUUUAUAAUUUUUUAUUAUUGUUGAUUAUUGUAUACACAGAGCAAAGCAACAUAUUUGUAGUGCCUUAAUCAAUGUUACCAAAAUCAAAUUACCACUGAAAAAAUGAAAUUAAUAUUCCGCCGCUUUUCGCGAAAACGGUUAACUAUCUGACUCCCCUUUAAUGGCGUGCUAAUUGUUUUUUCCUUCUUCUUCUUCUUUUUUUGUGGAUGAGUGCAACCAAUCAUGCACUGAUCUCUCAGCUUUUUAAUCAAUAAAUCACCAGAAGAAAUAAAACUGUCCCACAAUCACAUGAUUAGCAUCUAAACCAAUUGGGAGAUUAUAUUGAUGUGGUUAAUUAAUAGGGCAGGUUUGAGUUGCAGAUCCAAUAUUUACUGUUGUUUUUGUUCAAUUUUUGUUAUUAAGCAUCAAGUUGGUAUCAUCUAGAGAGUCGUGUUAAAAAAGGUCAAACAAUAUGAUGAUUUGUCAUUAAAGUUGCUUAACAAGUAGAAAAUAUUACACUACUAUUUGUUUUAGGGACCUGUUGUUCUGAAUGUAAUGUAGAAAUGCAUGUGAUUCUGAAGAAACCUGCAGAGGACAAAUUUUGGUAGUUUUCUAUAUUAAAAAUCUGGGGCUUAUAUUGACACUAGAUUUUCUCUGAUAUCAGUUUAUCAUAACAACAACGGAAAAAAAUCAAAUUCAUCACACGCGAAAAUACGAAAAGAAAAAAAAAUCAAAAAAAAAGAAAAAAAAAUAAAGAAUGUAAAACAUAAUAAGAUUAAAAAACCUUACGGUUCCAAAAUUCAUGAUAUAUCUAACAUUCUCUUUAAAGGUUUACAUUGAGUUCAAGGUAUAAUUCAAAUAUAUAGUUGAGAAAAGUGACAUAUUAUUUCCGAUCCGAGGUUUACAUUGAGUACAAGGUAUAAUUCAAAAUCAAAUAUACAGUUGAGAAUAGUCACAUAUUAUUUCCGAUCCAAUAACCACAGUUACAAUUCACCUACAGGAAAAGUUUUUUCGCGUAAUUUUUUGAGUAGAAAUUAGUAGGAUUUAUCCUGUAACUCAAUUUCAUUGAGUACAAAAUUAAGUGUAUAAUUUUAAGAGUAUAAUCUAGGAACAAUUUUUUUUUUUUUUUUUUUUUUUNCCCAAAUGUAACACCUGUAAAUACUGUGUCGGCGAGACGAGAUUGGACACCGCAAGCAAAUCGUAACGCGUCUCUUUUGUGCGGCAGUGGCCGUUUUUUCUCGGAAGGCGCGGUCGGUCGAAAACCGGAAGCGAUGCAACUUGUGCUGAUAAAAACCAGGUGAAGCAAAACCACCAGCAUGCAUAAAUUCUGGAGAGAUAUUUUUGCUCUUUUUCUUCCACAUUGAAUAUAGCAGAAAUUUGAAUACACAAGGAAGUAAAAGAGCAUGGAAGUGUAGUGUACUGCCCAAAUGCUGCUUCUGCAUUUGUAAUCUCACAGCCACAGGAGUGGCAUCAGCAAGCUAUCAAAUAAGCUGAGCCAAGAAAGUCCUUAACUUGUAAUAGCUCAAGAUUCCUUACUUUUACUUUCACCAAAAAAAAAAAAAAAAAAAAAAAAUCUUAAUUUGAUAAUGAGAAAGUAUGCAGAGAUAUAAUUUUUAGCGGUAAAAAUAUAUAGAAUUUAUCUGAACUAUAGACCAUUUUAAAUUGACUAUUUAAGUUUUUAAAAUUUUGAUUUUAUCAUCAAAUCUUUCAAUUUAUGUGAUUUAAGUCGGUCAACGAUAUUUUGACUUUAAAAUUUAAACUAAUUUUUUAUUUUAAUGAAUAUAUAGUUGUGAGAAUUAUAUGAAAUAUAUUAACUAAACCUGUAAAAAUGAACGGCACAUUCAAAGUUUUAAGUCAAAAUGCUGUUGACUAACUCGAAUUAAAGGAGUUGAAAGACUGAUUAUUAAAUUCAAAAUUUUGAAAGAUUGGAUACUACAUUUAAAAUAGUUCGUAAUUCAAGUAUGUUUCGUACGGUUUUUACCUCUUUUUUAUUUCUUGCGAAAUGUACUAAGCUUUUGCAGAAAUAAACAAAAUAAUAUUAUUCAAUCGAACUUUUCAACUACAUUUUUUGCAUGCUUCUUGUAAUUUCAAAUGAAAUCUUAUUUUGACACUGAUCAUACGGAGUGUUAAAUUUAUAGUUAAACUUAAUAGCAAAAUCAUUUUAUGCAACAACUGAUUAAAAAAGAAUAGAAUUUUACAUAAUCAUUAGCCAAAAAAAAGAGAGAAAAAAUAAAGCCAUUAUAUUAUAUCCUUAAAACCAUAUCAAAGGCACAUCGAAUAUUAAUUUGGGCAUAAACAGAGCAACGGAGUGAGUAUAAAUGCUGGUUGUCCCUCAAAACAUUUAACACUCCAUUAAUCUACUUAAUAUUCUCAAAAAAAUAAAAAUCAGUGAAAAUCUAACACAAAAUAAUAUAAAAGUUAGGAUACGAGAAUUCAUAAAAUUCUGGAUAAAUGAUUAAAUUACAAUCUCUACUCACAAUUUCGCAUAAAAGUAAUGGUAAAAAUCUCCAAUGUAGUUUAAUUUUAUUACUAUUUCAAAAUCUUGAAAAAAAAAAAAAACUAAAAGCUUGCAAAGAGUUUAGCUGAGUGAUGGCAUGCGCAUUUGGUGUAGAAUAUUUUGAAACUUGUUUUAAUUAACUCAUUAAAAUUUACCAUAUAAAACGUAAUACGAAUUAUUACCGUUUAGGGUUCAUUUAAACUGAAAUAUCUCGCUGAUUUGUAUUUAAACAAUUUUAUAUAUUUAUUUUAAUUAUACAAUAAUUACUACUAAGCUAAUAAGUGCGCAGUUUCUUAAUCGUUCGGUUCGGGAAUAAGCAACAAGUGUCUAUUCCAGGGAUAGAUAUAAAUUGAGAUAUAAGCGGGAAUUAGAUCAAUUUUGCGUUUGGAUAAAAAUUAUGUUAUUCCUGAAAAUAAAAAAAAUAGUGUUUGGUUAGAUAAGAUGGAAUAAGAAGGAUAGUUAGUUUUUAUAAAUAAAAAUAAUGAUAUUACCCUCUUAUUAUAUUUAAAUUUAAAAUUUUAACUUUUAAAUUUCAAAUUUUGAAAUUAAAAUUUAAAAUUUAAAAUCUCAAAUUUUAAAUUCAAAAUUUAAAUUUUAAAUUUCUAACUUUAAAUUUAAGAUCAAAUUUAAAUUUGAAAAAAUAUAAAAUAUUAAAUUCUAAAUUUCAAAAUUUUAAAAUAUCUAAAGUUAGAAUUUAAAAUUAUAAACUUUAAUUUUGAGAUUACAAAUUAUAAAUUUAAAAAUUUUAAAUUUUAAUUUUAAAUUUAAAUUUUAAAAUAAGAAUGGGAUGGAACAAAUAAUAAAAAUAAUUUAUUAUAAUAAAUUUAUAAUUUUUUUUAAAAUCUACUUAAACUUAAUUUAAUAAAAAAUACUUAUAAUAUUUAAAUAUAAAUAAUAUGUAUUAAUCUAGUACAAUUAAUAAUUUUAUAAUAAAAAUAAUAUAUUAUAAUAUAUAAUAUAUUAUAUUUAUAUAAUUUAAUUUUAAUUUAAUUAUAAUCGAGAAUAAUAAAAUUUGAUCGGGAUAAAAUAUUUCCCCAAUAAAUCAUUCUGUUUGGUAAAAUAGUGGGAGAUAACGUCUCCGCUUAACUCGUGAACCAGACGGGGCCUAAAACUCGCCAAACGACCCAAGAUUCAUUAUUUAGAAAGGCCCCACCCCCCACACAUAUAAAUAAGAGCUCCCUCCUCCCCCUUCCUCCUCGCGCACAAAAAGGAAAAGGGAAAGAGAAUAUUCAGUUUAACCCCUCAAAAAAAUUUCCCUUUCCCUUUAACCCCUCCUCCGCCCCUCCCCUCCGCUUCACCCACCAAUGGCCGCAUCGGUCGGGAACCGGCGGUUCGGCCCGCUCGAGCCGGGGCUGCAGCUGAACCUCCGGCCCGACUCCCCGGUCCGGGGCUGCAGCUUCCCCGCCCUCCUCGACCCGCCCUCCUCGAAGCCGCGGCCGUCCGAGUCGCAGUCGGACUCGGACUCGGACUCGGACUCGGACGAGCCGGAGUGGAAGGCGCUGCUCCGCGCGCAGGCGCAGCACCUCCUCGAGGUGGAGCCCGCGGUCCACGACCCGCGCGACGAGGGCACCGCGGACGCGUGGGUCCCGCGCAACCCGACCCUCAUCCGGCUCACGGGGAAGCACCCCUUCAACUGCGAGCCCCCGCUCGCGCGGCUCAUGCACCACGGCUUCAUCACCCCGGCCCCGCUCCACUACGUCCGCAACCACGGCCCCGUCCCGCGCGCCGACUGGUCCACGUGGACCGUCGAGGUCACCGGAUUGGUCAAGCGGCCCCUCCGGCUCACCAUGGACCAGCUGGUCCACGACUUCCCCCCCGUCGAGCUCCCCGUCACCCUCGUCUGCGCCGGGAACCGGCGCAAGGAGCAGAACAUGGUGCGCCAAACCGUGGGCUUCAACUGGGGCCCCGGCGCCAUCUCCACGUCGGUGUGGCGCGGCGCGCGCCUCGUCGACGUCCUCCGCCGCUGCGGCAUCGUCGGCCGCAAGCACGGCGCGCUCAACGUCUGCUUCGAAGGCGCCGAGGACCUGCCGGGAGGCGGAGGGUCCAAGUACGGCACCAGCCUGCGCCGCGAGGUGGCCAUGGACCCGGCCAGGGACGUCAUGUUGGCCUACAUGCAGAACGGCGAGCUGCUCGCCCCCGACCACGGCUUCCCGGUGCGGGUCAUCAUCCCGGGCUUCAUCGGCGGCCGCAUGGUCAAAUGGCUCAAGCGCAUCGUCGUCUCCACCGAGCAGUCCGAGAGCUACUACCACUACAGGGACAACCGCGUCCUUCCGUCGCACGUCGACGCCGAGCUCGCCAACGAAGAAGGUAUACAUACAUAUAUAUAUACACCAUCAUUGUUAUUAUUAUUUAGACGCGCGGCUGUAUACUAAUUUACAUGUAUAUAUAUUUAUUUAUGUCGGGUUUUUCGUUGGCGCAGUGUGGUGGUACAAGCCGGAGUACAUCAUCAACGAGCUGAACAUAAACUCGGUGAUCACGACGCCCGGACACGACGAGAUCCUGCCCAUCAAUGCGCUGACCACGCAGCGGCCCUACAUCAUGAGAGGCUAUGCUUAUUCCGGUGAGUAAAGUUCCUUCUCCCUUCUAAUUACUACUGCAUGGGGCAUGAGUUUCCUUUGUGUUUCUCAAUAAUGUAUGUCAACAAUGUAAAAUAGCAAUGCUAGAUCAUUUUUCUCUAAAAAUUUAAAUUAUUAGAACAUUAUAUGAUAUUUCAAAUAUUACUCAUUCGAUAUGUGAAAUUAGGAAUAUGGUAGGAUUAAUUCGUGUCAACAAUGCCAAAGAUUCAUUUUUCUCUAAAAUCUCAGAUUAUAUAUAUAUAUAUACUUUAAGGUAUCGUUUGGUUCGGGGAUAAGCAAAAAGUGGGUAUUCCAGGGAUAGGUAUAAAUUGAGGUAUAAGCGGAGAUUAGAUCAAUUUUGCGUUUGGAUGAAAAUUGGGUUAUUCCUGGGAAUAAGAAAAAUAACGUUUGGUUAGGUAAGAUGGAAUAAGAUUUAAAGUGGGUAGUUAUAAAUAAAAAUUAAUAAUAUUAUCACUUUUUUAUUUAUAUUAGAAUUUAAAUUUUUAUAUUUUAUAUUUAUAUUUUAAAAUUUAAAAUUUUAACUUUUAAAUUUCAAAUUUUGAAAUUAAAAUUUAAAAUUUAAAAUCUCAAAUUUUAAAUUCAAAAUUUAAAUUUUAAAUUUCUAACUUUAAAUUUAAGAUCAAAUUUAAAUUUGAAAAAAAAAAAAUUCAAAUUUAAAAUUUCAAAAAUUUAAAAUUUCAAAAUUUAAAUUUAAAAUUUAAAAUGUGGAAUUUAAAAUUAUAAACUUUAAUUUUGAGAUUACAAAUUUUAAAUUUUAAAUAUAAUUUAUUAUAAUAUUUUAAAUUUUAAAUUUUAAUUAUUUUAAUAUUUAAAUAUAUAUUUAUUAAUAAAUUAUUUAUAAUAUUUAAAUAUAAAUAAUAUGUAUAAUAUACGCACAAUUAAUAUUUUAAUAAUAAUAAUGUAUUAUAAUAUAAUAUAGUAUUUAUAUAAUUUAGUUUUAAUUUAUUUUAUAAUUUAAUAAGUUUGAAUUAAGCAUGGGAAUAGCACUAUUCACUAAAAUGGUGAAUAGUAAAAAGCUUGCUAUUCCGGAAUAACCGGGAAUAGCAAGCUUUGACCGGAAUAAAAAUAUUCCGGUAAAAAAUGAUCCCCGUUGGGCGAAUAGUGGGGAUAAUCCCCGCUUAUCCCCGAACCAAACAGGCCUAAAGAAAAAAAAAAAAACUAAGAGUUGCACAGUAUUCAUCAUAAUAUAGACGACUCACAUACUAGACAACACUGUUUGGUAUCAUAAUAGAUAUAUUAAAUAGCUCUCAAUUAGGAGCAUGACCGGAUCCAAUUACCACCUCCUGUUUACUACUGUAAGUGGCUUGUUGGUUCAUCCAUUUUGGGUAUGAAAUGGGAAUCGUUUAUCAAAUCCGGUUAAUUUUGUUUGGUUCGCAUGAAUCGAUUUGGGAUUCCUAUUCCGGACUGGAAUGGGAAUGAUCCAUUAGCCUUCAACUUGAUUCCGGUCUUCUAACCCGGAUUAAGAUUUCAUUUCGGAAACCCACUAAGUUCUCGAAACUCAUAUGACCAUCUCACCCUCCUUCUCUCCACUCCUUUCUCAUCAAAAAAAAAAAAAAAAAACUAUCCUCUCUCAAAACCUUAUCCCUAACCCACAUCAAUAAAAGUUUUUAAAAAUAAAUUUGAUAUUUUUUUUGAAAAACUUAUUAGAGAAUAGUAUUAUAUUUUUCAUACAUUUUAAAUAAUAUAAAUUUAUAUUUGAGAGUAAAAUUAGUAUUAUAGUAUUCUAUAAUUUUUUUAAUUUAUACGAACCAAACAAUGAAAUGUGAAUAACUCAUUCCAAUUCCCAAUCCACAAAUAAACCAAAUAUCUUAGAAGAGUGGGUCAUUCCAAUUACCAUUCUAAUUCAUUCCCAUUCCAUUAUCCAUUUCAAUUCCACCCUUGAACCAAACAAGCCCUAAAUGUGUCCCCCCUAAAUUUUUUUUUUAAAAAAAUAUAGUUCUGCAAACUUUAAAAUUUUGUAAAUAUAUUUUUCGACGGGUCAAAACUUUAUCACAUUUUUGUAGUACAAUAUUUUGCCGGAUCGAAAUUAGCUAUUGUGGGCUAUUAGAACGGUGAUAUCAACCUUUAUCAUUUUUCAUAAUUAGUAAAACUUUGCAGAAAUAUAUACGAUAUUUUAAACUUCGGAGAAAUAAAUAUACAAAUAUUUAAACUUACAUUUUUCAAUUCUCCCUUUGAAUAAGCUGAUUUUCUCUACUUACUUAGGCUAAUAAGCAAGGGAUAUUUUAUUUAUAUGUUUAAGACUAGUUGUUUUACUUGUUUAGCUUUUUGCUGCUGUUAGCUGUACAAUUUGCUCUGUUAAUUUGACCAUUUCAUGCAUGUGGAUGUGCGUUCGCCGAAUUUGUUGUGCCCGUUAAUGGAGUGAAAGGUCACUGAAAAGCUAGUUCCAUAUUUUGUCUUUACUGGGUCUAGAUCCAGUUAAAUAGCAAACUAGACUUUUGAGUUUAUUGAAUACUUAAUGCAUGUUUAUAAUUAAUUAAUUUGUUUAUUCUUAACUUUCAUUGAAGAUACAAUAUGCUCUUUGAGACUUUUGAUCAUACUUCUCCUUUUACCUAAUGGCUAAUGCUAUAAAUUUUCCGCACAAAUAAAAUUAUUUAUAUUAAUAAGAUGCUCGUACAUCUAAAAAUGUCUUUGGAUUUGAAGUUGAGAUGGAUUAAGAAAAGAUCAACCAGUUGGUCCACGGUUGGUUUGAUAGACCAAAUCCAGACAAUUUAUCUGUAAGGACAAUUAUUUGCCACAUAUUAAUUAUUAAAAUAAAGACAAAAGAAAAACAAAAUCAGUUUCAAAGGUGCAUGUGAGUAAGGCUCGCAAUUCAGCUCGCUGCUCGCAAAUCGGCUCGUGUUCAGUUCGAAAUAAGCUCGAGAUCUAGUCGCUUAUUUAGUAAACGAGUCGAAUACGAGCUGAACUUUUUAGUUCAUUUAAUAAAUAAGUCAAACACGAGCUAAAUUCAACUCACUCGUGUUCGGCUCGAUAACAGCUCAAAUAUAUAUAUAUAUAUAUAUUAGUAUAUAAUAUAAUAUAUAUAUAUAUAUAAUAUAAUUACAUAUUAUAUAUAUUAUAUAUUUAUAUUAAUUUUUAGCCAAAAAAAAAUAAAGUCAAGCUCAAAAUUAUAAAAAAUUAAUAUAUAUAAAUAAAUAAUUGUAUAUUAAUAUAAUACUUUAUUAUUUAAUUUUUAGCCAAAAAAAAAAAGUCAAGCUCAAUUAUAAAAAAACUUAUUUAUAUGUAAAGUUUCAAGCAUUAGAUUAAAGUCUAACGGGUAAGAUUUUAUAAAUUUAUUUUUUGUCUAUAUCUAAUCUAAUCUAUUUAACUUAUUAUUCGUUGGUCAGCUCGUGAUCAGUUAGUUCGUGUUCGGUUCGUUUAUUAACGAGAACACGAGUUAAAUUUUUCGGUUCGAUACUUUAACAAGUCAGUUCGUGUUUUGCUAGUUUAGUCCCAGUUCGCUCGUGUUCGGCACUUUGACACCCCUAGUCGCUAGUUAGAUGAACCACAUUAUGGGACAGUAGUUUUAGGUGCCCAAAGACUAGCGUACAAAUUUUUCACUUGAUAUUUUUAAAAAUUGUUUAAGCAAAUCGGCCGUUGCAGUGCCGGUGCUGAUAUGAUCUUCGCAUUUCAGGUGGAGGCAGGAAGGUGACGAGGGUGGAAGUCACGCUGGAUGGCGGCGAGUCGUGGCACGUCUGCUCCCUCGACCGCCCGGAGAAGCCGAACAAGUACGGCAAGUACUGGUGCUGGUGCUUCUGGUCCGUGGAAGUCGAGGUGUUAGACCUCCUCGGCGCGAAGGAGAUCGCCGUCCGCGCGUGGGACGAGUCCCUCAACACCCAGCCGGAGAAGCUCAUCUGGAACGUCAUGGUAAACACCAAGCAACCGGAUGCAUACAAUUUUUUAACUUUUGGAACAAAUUUUCUAUUACAUAGCUUCUUUUUUUCUUUUUUAAAUCAACAAAAGAGUAACUAUAGCAACGUGUACACUUUUUUUUCUAGGUAAAACUGUUUAGAAUUAUCUAUAACUUUUCAAAAUUUUAAUCUUACUAUAAACCAUUCAAUAUAUUUUAUUUGAGUCAGCUAACGACAUUUAAUUCCAAAACUUAAAUUGGUUGCUUAUUUUAAUAAACAUAUUGUUGUGAGGAUUAUGUAAAAUAUACUAAUUAAAUGUACAAAAAUAAAAAUUAUAUUUAAAAUUUGAAAUUUAAAUAUUAUUAGCCGACUGAAAUCAAAUCAAAUCAAAUCAAAUCAAAUUAGAAGAUUAAAUAAUAAAAUAAAAUGAAUUAAAAAAUUAGAGAUUAAAUUCAAAUGAUUCAUAGUUGGGAAUUAGUUCCAUUUAAGUACCGAAAUCAAACACCUGAUAUGCGCUACAUUAUCGUGCAUCCAUGCAGGGCAUGAUGAACAACUGCUGGUUCAAGGUGCGGGUGAACGUGUGCAAGCCGCACAGGGGCGAGAUCGGGCUAGUGUUCGAGCACCCGACGCAGCCGGGCAACCUCGCCGGCGGCUGGAUGGCGCGGCAGAAGCACAUGGAGUCCUCGGAGGGCGCCCAGCCGGCCCUCAAGAAGAGCACCUCCACCCCCUUCAUGAACACCGUCACGAAGCAGUUUUCCAUGUCCGAGGUGCGCCGCCACUCGACCCCCGACUCCGCGUGGAUCGUCGUCCACGACCACGUCUACGACUGCACCGCCUUCCUCAAGGACCACCCCGGCGGCGCCGACAGCAUCCUCAUCAACGCCGGCACCGACUGCACCGAGGAGUUCGACUCCAUCCACUCCGACAAGGCCAAGAAGCUGCUCGACACGUACCGCAUCGGCGAGCUCGUCACCACCGGCUACACCUCCGACGCCUCCGUCCACGGCGCCUCCAACUUCUCCCACCUCGCCACCAUCCGCGAGGCCACCGCAACGCGCGCCCCCGCGGUGGCUCUCUCCAACCCCCGCGAGAAGGUGCAGUGCACGCUCGUCUCGAAGACCGUCGUCUCGCACGACGUCCGCCUCUUCCGCUUCGCGCUUCCAUUUUCGGAUCAGUCAUUCGGAUUGCCAGUUGGUAAGCACAUUUUUCUUUCGGCCAACAUCGACGGCAAGUGGACCAUCUGGCCGCACUACGGGCUUGGGGGGCGCUAGUAGCGGUCGGCGGAGCGCUUGGCGGCGAACGGCAACUAGUUCUUCAACGGCGCGGGCCACAUGAGCUACACGGGGUUGCCAGGAAAUUAUAGAUAAAAACUCGGCUCGCCCUCUCUAAGCUCCACGACGCAGUACUCGGGCGGCAAGCCCUUAAAGCCCAAGUGCGGGAACUUCAUCUAGAACUGUUCCUCCAGCUUCACGGGCUAGAGCAGCUACCCCGAGCACCCGCACAUGCGGGAGUACGUGCCNGCGGCAACUUCUUGAUCAACGGCAAGCGGCGGUUCGCGAGGCGGCUGGCGAUGAUCGCGGGGGGUUCGGGCAUCACGCCGGUCUACCAGGUGAUACAGGCGGUGCUGCGGGACCAGCCGGAGGACCGGACGGAGAUGCACCUGGUGUACGCGAACCGGACGGAGGACGACAUCCUGCUGCGAGACGAGCUCGACCGGUGGGCGCGGGAGCACCCGGACCGGCUCAAGGUGUGGUACGUCGUGGGCGAAGUGCUGCGGCCGGAGGCAGGGUGGCCGUACAGCGUGGGGUUCGUGACGGAGCAGGUGCUGCGGGAGCACGUGCCGCUGGGCGGCGACGACGAGACGCUCGCGCUCGUGUGCGGGCCGCCGCCGAUGAUCCAGUUCGCCGUGCGCCCCAACCUGGAGAAAAUGAAGUAUGACCUUGAAAACUCGUGCCUCAUUUUCUAAGUGGAAGCACGGAGAUCUCCGUGCACGUACAGGUCUGGUUCCUAAGAGCAAAAUUGCGUACAUGUAUUCUUGUGAAGUUGGUAUUUGCGUAUAAAUAUUAAUAUUUUUUUUUUGAUUAUAUCAACUAUGUAUACGUCGGAUACCAACUUUUCAUGAAUAUAUUUACACAAUUUGAUAUGCUUGUAAGGGAUUAUGUGCCAAAAAAAAAAAAGGAAAAAGAAAAAAAGGGAUGUAUAUAUGUCGUCGAUUUGUUGCUAUCCUAGCAUUCUUUGAUCAAUAAGGAGGGAGGUGACAUUGGGAUUAAUAUUAGGUGUGAGUUUACGGCUCGUCCAAGUGAUCAGAUCGAGCUGAUCAAUUCAGCCGUGCAUGUUUAGGUCUUCUCGUAGAGGCUCGAUGUAUAAAUUGAUCAACUGAACGGUCCACAGUUUGAGACCAUGAUUUUGGUCUCUUUGGUCGCUUGUAAUUUGUAUGAUCUAUUAGUAUAUGACUAUAUGUAAGCUAGUUGUUACUUUGUAUCUUUUGGUAUGCAACUCUUUAAACUAGUCCUAUCAUUUUUUUUUUUUAAUAUUCAAAAUUUUAAAUGAUUGUAUAAUUUCUUGGAGGGUGACAAUGUAAGAUAUAUGUUCAGAAAUUAAGUGUUCAAGUAGCUUUUGCCUUUAAUUAAUAUAUUUGUUAAACUCUUUUAUCUUAGAAUUUGUUUGGCAUUAAUUAAGGGAUCCCCCUCUUUUAGAAAAAUAAUUUUAGUAGGGAGCUCUCGGAUUUGCUGUCUCCGAUUUGCUGUUUUAGUUUUGUCUCUAUCCAAAUAUUAUAAUUAUUUUCUCUUGAACUUUUAUUUUUAAAUUUUAGUGUCAGAAACAUACAACGAAUUCAUAAGUUAAGAUAAAAUUAAUACAUAGCAGCGAAUUAAGAGCUCCUUCCCUUCUCAUGUUUUAUCCGUCUUUCCAUAUUGGGCAAAAAGCAGCCAAAGCAUUUCAAUGACUAAUUUGGAGAAAAUAAAAGGAAAGGAAGAUCACCAAAGCACAAGAGUCUUUCCUUUUCUUUUUUCUCUUUUCCUUUUCUUAAUUUAGGAUUAUUUUAUGACCUCGGAAUCUUUGAAACGCAGUAAGGAGAUAGGUUUUUUUUUUUUUUUUUUUUUUUUUUUUUUGAGAGAGAGAGAGAGAGAUAGGUAUCCGUUUCUUUUAUUUCAUUUAGAAAUAAAUUUAGCUAGAAAUGUGAAUCAACAAAGAUUCAAAUUUGAGUCUUGGAUACCAACCACCAAGUCCUUUGGCACUUGCUCUAAGGAGAUGAGUUUUUAAGUUAGUAAAAAAACAUCUCUUGGAAAAGCAAAGCGUUUUCUACGCUUAAUUUGGAAUGAGAAAUGCUUAAAUUAAUCUACCCAGACUAAUAAUCGCUACAAUCUUUUAUUUAGACCUGUCUUAGGAGAGAUACAGCAAUAAAUUAAUAGAAGAAUUUUUUUUGGCUUUUUUUGCACUUAGAAGCAAAUUGAAAGAUAGAGAGGGCGGACAGAUCAGAAGAGGGGGGACGGACUGUGCGAGAAUUAAAAAGAGUACAUGACACGUAACCCCUAUGAGAACUCAGCAAAUCUAGACCGAUCUAGAGGGGGAAGGAGGCGGGGCGGGUGGCACGUGAGUCCGCUUAGCCCGGGUGAAAGGAUCGGGGAGAGGGGGAAUGGACAGCACGAGAAAAGGAGAACGCGACACGUAACCCCUUUGAGAACUAAACUUUUAAAUUUUUUUUUAGAUCUAUAGAUGUAUAUUUUACUGGUGGUUACAUACGGAUCACAUAGGAGCUGUAUGUUUGUCCAGUAGUGAAUUUCAGAUUGAAAAUAACUUUUACUAAAACUAAAGUUUGGGUGAAAAUAUUUUUCCACUAUUGUUUUUUGAUAGAAAGUUAGGCUUAAUUUGGUAUUACGGCCCAUCUAAUGUUAUUAGAUAAAAUAACAUUGGGGUAAAAAGUAAAAACAUAUAGAGAUAUGUUUCUGCGUUCUCCUAUGGAAUCGAAGAAAUUAUAUAUCGUAACCAACUUAUCGCGAUAUACGGAACGUAAUACUAUGUACGGAAACAAACAUCGUAUUUUUUCAAUAUACUUUCUGACCGUACGCAAACACAAUUUUCCUGCAAUUCCAAACGAAGCCUUAGUGAUUUUGAAACUAUAAAUAUUCUUUUUUUAAUUUACAUAAUUGAUAGAAAGUUAGUGAUUUUGAAACUAUAAAUAUAUUUUUUUUGUUUAUUUUAUGUAAGAAUAUAUAAAACUUAUUCCAAUUACCCCUAUUUUAAUCUGACUAUUUAACCUUCAAAAAUUUUAAUUUUGCUACAUAUUUUUUUAAUUUAUUUGAUUUAAGCCGGUUAAUAACUUUAACUUUAAAAUUUGAGUAUAUUGUUUAUCUUUACAUAUUCAAUCUAUAUAUUUUAUGCAAAUUCAUAUAAAUAUAAAUUUAUUAAAGUAACAAUGAUCUUAAUUUUUGUAUUAAAAAAAUCUUCAAAUAACUUAAAUCAAACAAAUUGAAAAGCUCGCUACUAAAAUUGAAAGUUUGAAAGGUUUGAUAGCCAAAUCACAAUGAUCUAUAAUUCAUGUAUGUUAUAUAUAAUUUUGCUUUUAUUUUAUUAGAAAAAUUCAUACUAGCAUAUAAAAAGGCGAAAACUUUAUAACAGUAAAUUAUUAUUAUUUUUCUAUAUUUUUCUCUUCCGCGAUUUACUUUAGCACUACCCACGGCGAAGUAAGUUCAACGUCUUGCAUAAGUGGAGUUACAGACAAACUUAAUUUUAUGGCAAACCAAUAACGAAAAUGGGCAUUUACGGUCAAAAACAAUUUCACAUUUUUGUUGAAACUGUGUUUGGUUAAGUUGAGUAUUUACGGCCAAAAAUAACUUCACAUUUUAUGAGAAUGGAAAAUUAACAAAAAUUAAAUUCACCUUUUUAUAAUAAAUUAUUUUUACUAAAUUAUAUUUUAUAUUAAAUUCAACCACCACCUUUUUUUCGUUUUCCUCCACUAUCUCAUAAGAAACGUACUAAACCCAUUUGUGGCCCAUAAAAUGUGGCCCAACUCAAAUUUUGUAGCAUAUGAAUUUCAUACCAAAGUGGCCCAUUAGAAGCCUAAGUUUUGGAGAAAGAUAUUUACAUCUGGGCCUGGGCCCAUCACACCGCGCACCCGAAUCUUACAGCGCACGACUCGAAAGAUUUCCCAAACCAUAGUCAACGAGUCAACCGCUUAAGCCACCCAAAAAUCCAAAAGAUGCAUUUGUAAUGAAAUAAUAUAUAAAAUAAUAAAUAAAUAUUUUAUUUUUUUAAAUAAUUUAAUAUUUAAAAUAAAGAGUCAAAAGUAGUAAUUUUGCUUUUCCAAAGUGACAUUUUUUAUUUUCCAAAUUGUGAGGAAUAAAAUGAAAAGUAUGGAGCGUAGAAUGAGCGGAAAUAAUAGAUGAGAAUGAGUAGUAAAGUGCCGUGCGGAGAAUAAGACAAAAAAAAUAAAUAACUGAAAUGAUAUAUUCCAAUUAAAAUAUAUUAUUUUUGUCAAAUUUAAUUGUGUUUGGCCUGUUAUUUUAUUAUUAAGACUUAACAUAUAGAAAUAUAUUUCUGUAUUUUCUGGUGAAAUUUUAAAAAAUUUAUCAUAACCGACUCAUCGUAAUAUGCAUAACAUAAUAUUACGUACGGAAACAAACAGAUAUUUUACCACCGUACAUUCUCACCGCACGUAAUGUAAUUUUAUCGCAAUUUCAAACGAAAUCUAAGCACAGUCAAAAAUAAAUUGUAUAGACAUUCUUCAUUUAUGGUAUCUUUUGAAAUAGCCGCAUAAACUUUUUUUGUUUCUUUGACGUCGGGUUUUCACAUUUUAAAUAAGUAAAAAAAAAUUAUCAAACUAUUUAGUGAUGUAAAUUUAAAUUAUUAAUAUAUAUUUUUUUACUAACAAGAGUAGCUGAAUGAAUAAGUUAGAAAUCAAAAAAGUGUCUAAAAGAAGAAAAAAAAAAUUAAGUUGAAGACAGUAUUUGACACUUUCUUAUAGUUGAGGGGGUCUUCUUACAUUUUUACCAAAACCUAAAUCCCAUUCGGUGUCCAUUCGAAACCCUCGUUCCCGCCCAUUCUCCCUCUCCCUCCCUCCCCCUUCUUCUUCUUCUUCUUCUUCCUCCAAACCCUCCUCCGUUCUCCCCUACAAAACCCCCAAUUUGAGAGACCGUUACCGCAUCGGGAAGAAGCUGGGGCAGGGCCAGUUCGGGACGACGUACCUCUGCGUCGACAAAUCCGAUGGCGCCGAGUACGCGUGCAAAUCCAUCCCCAAGCGCAAGCUCCUGUGCCGCGAGGACUACGAGGACGUGUGGCGCGAGAUCCAAAUCAUGCACCAUUUGUCCGAGCACCCCAACGUGGUGCGCAUCAGGGGCGCCUACGAGGACGCCCUGUUCGUGCACCUCGUCAUGGAGCUGUGCGCCGGUGGGGAGCUCUUCGACCGGAUCAUACAGAAGGGCCACUACAGCGAGCGCAAGGCGGCGCAUCUCAUCCGCACCANCAGAGUGGGUGGCGGAGCUUCUCGGUGUUUAUGGGCUUUUGCUCGAGUGCUUGGCGUGCAUCGGCCCGUGCCUCGCGGGGAAGCCCUACUCGGUGCACCUCCAGAGGGGACAGUUCGUUUGCUGCUUGGAAGGUCAGGGAAGGUAUGCAGAGGCCGAGGAGGAGGCGCUAUCUCUUCUUGAGAGCCUUCGAUCGGCGCUGAUCCCAGCUGCUUCAGCACCGAGGUCGCAGAAGGGGAGAAGCGCCGACGCCAGAUGCCUAUUGCCUGAUCCGAAGCUCGCAGGUUGUGAUGAUCCAGAGGUCACAAUUUUGGCCAUCCAGAUUAUCAUCAGCCUUGCUAACUGUUCUUCUAAAUACAAAACAAAGGAUGGAGCUGCUUUUGAGAGGAUCUUGGCCCUUGUUGAGCAAGUUCAGCCAUGGCUCCCGUAAGUGAAUGAUCUGGGCUGAUUCCGACACAUGGACCCUAAAAUUUCAGCACUGAUGUUAAUUUUGUCCAUAUAUGCAGGUUUCUGGAUCCUGAGUCGCUGAAGAAAUAUCAUUGGUUACUUGUGAAUGCCUUGUACAGAUGUUCAAAUUUCCUGGUUGUAGAAUGUAUGUCUUUUGACACGGAUUUGGUACAGCGGUUCUGUAUGUUCAUGUUGAGAGAGUGUGCGAAGCCCUCUUCAAUCGACCGUUUUCCGAUAGUUAGUACACUAGCUAAAUUUUUGUUUUUGUAAAGUUAUUCUAAGUAAAUAAAUUGGAUGGGAUGUAAGUCUUUGGCAUGUGAAUUGCAGAUUGCUCGCAAAAUUAGUUCUUCCAUCGACUUGCAUUGGGAAGGCAGAUCCUGUCUUAUGUUCGAUAUACUAAAUUUGGCCCUUGAGUCAAUAAAAUGUGGCUGCAAGGUAAUUUCCAUUUUGAAUAUAGUUGCUGACACUUUCAAUUUUCUUUGGUCAGUAAUUAUCACAACCUGAACUACAAAUUCUUCAUGCAUAACUUGAUUUUCGUGGCAAAAAAGAUGUUGGUAUUUACAAGUGUAUGAUAAAUUAUUGAUAUUAGUUGAGACAUGAAGGGCAUUUGAUGCAACACCUGUUUUUAUUUUCUAGUUUUGAUUUUGAAAUUCGUAAUGUGGUGAAGAAAGCUGAAAAUGAGUUUUGAAGCAUAGCAUGUUGACCGUAUGUGUUUGAUCUUACGAGACACCUAAUAAGUUCUGUUUUUUUCUUUUUGUUUUGUCUGUUGUGCAUAGUAGAAAUUGUGUCAUAUUAUUUGUCUUAAAGUGUCUGAGAUGUGUUGCUCCUGUAGGUGUGUUUUUUAUAUUUAAACUGACUCGCAGUUUUGUUUUCAUGCAUUUUGUGUAUGAGCAGGUUUGUGUGUCGAAAUCUGUAAAUGAGUUACUCGAUUUUGUAUUGUAUUCUGCUGACAGCCUCUGUGCUGCCAACAUGGAUGCCCUUACAGGUUUUUCGGAAUUAUUUUAUGAAAAAGGAGGUGAUUUCUUUGAGGUACAUUUAUAUUGGCGCUUUUAUAGAAAGUGAUACCUUGCCGUUUAUAAUCUCUUUCUGAUGAAUUGUUUAUUUUUCUUGUCAGGUUUCACCUCCUAUUGCCUCAAUUCUGAUUCUCUAUGCUACUGCCUUGUACUUCGUAUCUAAUAAUAUUCAAGUUAAGCAAGCCGGAGAUAAUUUUGAAUUAUCUUCUGAGGGUACUACAAAUACAACUUUGCUUGACAAUGUAGAAAAUCUUCAGAAGUUGACUGAUUCACUGGGCAGUUUAGCAAGAUAUUUUCACGUCGCUAGCGACAGGACUGAUAUUGCUUUUGGUGAUCCAUUAGAGGCACAGAAUGAAUCAACCAUGCUUCUGAAGUCCAAUAUCCACACAGAGUGUAAAUACUUGCAUGGAAGUGCUUCUUUUAUCUCGUAUUUAGAUGCUUUAGAGUUUUUAUGCAAGAUAUUAUAUCAAUAUGCAAACACAGCCUGGAAAUACUUGUCCGAGAAGAAAAUGAUCUGUCAUUUUGUGAAGAUAGACCAUGUUUUGAAUGCAUUACAUCUGUUCUGUGAUUCGAUGAUCCUUGCUUUCAGGUGAGCCUGUAUCAUAGACCGUUGUUUGCUGCAACUACUGAAUUCUGAAAUUCUUUAAACAAGUGCCAGAACAAGACUUACGAGUUUCAAUGUCUGUUUCCCUAAUUGUAUAGAAGCAUCAAGACAUCUGAAAAGGAUAAAGAGAGGCUACAGGAAAGACGUGGAACAUUACUUGAAGUGGCCAUUUCAGCAUUCAGAAUCUCUUUUCUCACCACUGGAAACUAUCAGGUUUAACCUUGUAUAAUCGGUCUUGUACUUUGGUUAUUGUGGUAUUACAAAGAAGAUUGUUUUUAACUUUGUUUUGAGCAAAACUGCUGUGACUUAUUUUUUUUCUGGCUAAUUUAUUCUGUUUUCGUAGUUCAGAAGAGUCUGUCCUCCAUUAAUUACGCCAUAUCAAGUGAAUGGAUUAAACCUCAGGAGCUGAGAUUUCUUAUUUCAGCACUCAAUAAUAUUGGGGCUUCGUUGUACAAUAUUGGGCAUUUCAAACAGGUAUAUAUGUUGUUAGUGUUGAUCAACUUUGUUGAACCUUGGAUCCCUAUUUUUCUGUGUUCCUUAGAUUUCUGUUUGACAUUAUUGUUGACACUGUUGCAGUAUUGUCAUGAAAUUUUCUCUUUAUUUAUAUGCAACUUUAAGGCACCUAAUAUAUUUGGUCAGGAUUUCUAAGUAGCAAGAGACAAGGUAAACAUGCCUUGAAACUAGCUCCAUGUCAGCUACAUCGAGUAGUGCUUAAUUACCAGAUAGGGUACGGUGGCGAAUGGCGAUGCAUUAAUAAUGGCUAGGUAAAUGACUAUUUAAAACGUUGUGAUCUUAUUCUGAGAAAAUGCUGGAUAUACUGUUAACAUAUUUUUCAAUAUUUCUGAGUUCUUCCUAUGUUGUAUGCAAUGAUCUUAUUCCAGAUUUGGCUUGUGUUAGUUUAUUGUUGUCAAUCGAUUGGAGGGAAUGAUUCAACUGAACGGUGGUAUGCAAUGAUCUUCUACCAGAUUUGGCUAUUGUUGGAUUGUAUAAUUUGAGUGACAAAUUAAGUAAAACUCUUAUCUUUGCAAAUUCUGCCUUUUUUGCCUCUAAUUUUGUGUUCUUUUGUAGCCAAUGGGCAACAAGAUAAAACUCAUACAUAAUCAUGUGGUUGUAAGAAGAUGGUUUUGGUUUUUCUUCUACUUCUUUUAGUUGAUUGUGAUAGAAAUGACCUGUUUUGCAUUUGUGAAAUCUGGCCUGCUUAAUCAUUUGAGCUCUCUAUCUGCAAAAUUUUGCAUGUUUUAUGUUUUAGGUGGCAGUAAUGUUAUCUAAUUGCCAUUGUCAUUUCAUUCAGGUACCAAUAGUAUUGCAGUUGUGUUGUCAAGCAAUAUGGGCAAAUGUCAAUCUAGUCUGCAGAAGAUACUCGGACAAGCUGCGGGGGUUUAAUGUUGAUUGUAUAUCUAAGGAUUCGGUAAAGGAUGUCAUUAAUGAUGCAUUCACAAGGAUUGCAACAAUAGUUGAUACUCUACACAGAUGUGGUGCCACCGACACGAAUGAAACUGUUGUAAAAAGCUUAUUUCAACUGUCAGCCACUGAAGGCAUAUUUGAAAAUCUAAAUGGCUCUUUGGUCUUGGUUAAACAAUGGGUUAAGGUACUAAUCUAAAAAUAAUGAAAUUUAUUUGAUGUACAUGGAAGGUCUUUAUUCUACCUAAUCUUUCUUGAAACUGCAGAUAAUGUGUAAAGAUUUUGAAGGUGUUGACAUGGUAGAUAAUGCUGAAGUUCUCUACUCCUCACUAUUGAGAUACUGUCCAAAAUGCCCAAAGAAGAUUGCAGGCAAGAUUCUUGAGCAGGUUCGAUCUCUUCUCAUCAAAUUUCAUGGCAGUUACUAUCAAUUACUCCUUUUUUUCAUAGAUAUAAUGUUGUAUGAAAUUGUCUUAAUUUUUGCAGGAGCUUCUUGCAUAUGACAUGAUGGAAGUUCGAAACCCAGUUCUUUGUAAACAGAUGAAACUAAAAGUUGUGGAUAUUCUCUUAAAUGUUAUGUAUGUGUCAAGAGAUUGUUAUUUGGGAAGAUCAAGGGUACUUGUUAGAAAGGCGAAAGUACUUCGAGCUUGCGGAAUAGAGAGCAUAAAUGGCUCUCUGAAAUGUCUCUCUGAAGCCAUUUGUUUACUUGUAAGCUUGUAAUUUGUUUACCUUCAAGAUGUUGCUUAUCUUCCUUUUUCUUCUAUGUGGCAUAACCUUGGUAACAAAGUUAGAUAGUUGACAUAUAGUUCUGAUGUAACAGAAAGACAUAUCAUUAGAUUCUUCUGGAGGUAAUGCUACUGUACAUCAUCAGUUGGCCAUCGCAUACUGCUUGCAUGCACAAUGUGCCCAGGAAGCCAAUCUCGACUGUAAGGUAGCAUGUGAAGGGCUAUUAUAUAUGAGGUUAAGAAGAUAUUUUGAUCCUUAGCUGUUGUGUAGGAAUAAGAAAACUUUCAGAUUUGGGCAUUCUUUCAAUAUUUCUGAAAUUUUUGGUUGUGAAACAGGUUAUCCUGCAAGAUGUUCAAGCCGCAUUAAAUUUGUGGCUAAGCAUUGACAUCCAGGAUUUUUGUUGUAUAGAUGGAAAUUUUGAAAUGACAGCUGAAAAUAUGACACCGUUAUUGUGUUCCAUAGCUGAUUUGUUAGCCAUGAAGGUGAGACUUGCAGACCACGCAACUGGUAAACUCUGUCUAUGUAGUAUACACGGUAGUGUAGUGCCUAUGCGAUGUAAUAUACUUACUUUGCGUGCAUCACCCAGGGAUGCUUGGAGUUUCAGUUUGACAUCUGCAAGCUACUGAUCAUGAUAUGGAAUCGCGCGGAUAUUGCUCUUGAAAGAUUUUUUGCCUUGCUAUGGAAUGAUAGGCGUCUUAAUCAUUCGUUUUGUACCAUUCCAAUGGAUGGACAGUUCAUUUUGAAUAUGUCAAAACACUUCGGUGUUAAUGCUAGCUCUGUUGAUUAUUGGAUUAGUUGUGUAAAAGGUAAUCAGGCUUCACUAUGUAUGUUUCAUCAGAAGGUGUCACUGACUGAUUCAGUUUUUCCUGAAUUAAGUGAUCAUGGUUUUCAAACGUCAUUUGCUCAUAAAGUCAGUGCUGAUGAAGUUAAAAGGGUUGCAUCUUCUCUUGUUUCUGCUGUAAGUUCUGUUUGAAAAAUCAAAGGAAAAUUCGUAGCCCUUGAUCUCAACAAUGUCAGAAUUUUCACAUUUUAAUCCUCCUGUUUUGGAUGUUGUAGGUUCCUUUGUCAAGUCAAUCAACUUUCCUUGCUGGAUAUCUGUAUUAUGAUUUGGCUGAAAGGCUUCUGUUAAAGGGAAGAUAUUUUGAGGUAAGAUACUAUUACACUCCAAAUGAUAUUACUCAUGCAGCUAGGAAUAAACUUCCCUUUGGAUGAAUUGCAUUUUAAGCGUUCCAUCAAUUAUGACUACAGAUCACUGUCAGAAGUUAGCCAUUAAAACAAAUAUCUUUUUCGUGAAACGAAAGAACCAACUACGACUUGCAUGUAAAAUGCUAGUAUCAAUUGAUUCUGGUAUUCCUGCCAAGCUGAUUCUUUGCUCCAAACUAUUAUCCAAACCAAGCUGCACACCGUAAUUAUUGUUUUUGGAAUAUCAAGUUAUACUUUGCAGAAUAGUUAUGGUUGUUCAUUAUUAAUUAUGGUUAUUAUGGAAUAUUUUUAUUGUUUAGGCUCUUUGCCUUUCAAGAGAGGCUCUUCAGUUGCGAAAGAGACUUCUAAAAAGGAAGUUCAUCUACUACUUUAGGCGGCAGCAGCAGCAGCAGCAACCACAACAGCCUGUAAGUGCUGAAAAAGAAAAUCAGACAACACCAGACCUUGUUCACCUUGAAGCGAUGGAAUCAGUUGCAACUGAAACUUGGCCAGAUCAUUGUAGGUCCGGAAACAUAGAGGACUCCUUCCUUACUCCAUGGGCUGUUCUUAGAUGCUACCUUGAAAGCAUUUUGCAGGUUUAUAUUUGUAUUUUCUUGAAUAAAAUAAGUACAAGUCGUUGAUAAUUCAUUAUGCCUGAUAUCUUAAUACUUAGGUGGGGAUUAUUCAUGAAUCAACUGGUGAUGCUGCUGAAGCUGAAAUACUUUUCCGGACAGGAAAAGAGUUGUCCCAUCAGCAAAGUCUACCUACUUUUGGGAUUGCUUUUUCAUCAUUAUUAGGUAAAUUCUCUAAAUGCGUAUUCCUACCUUUCUCUCAUUUAGUCAAUUUUGCAUUUCUUUUUGUCCUAUAUGUAUUAGCACUAAACUAAUCUUGAUGCUGUCUCAGGUCAAUUGUACCGUAAGAAACACUUAUGGGAGUUAGCAGAAAGUGAGCUCAGUAAUGCUAAAAAGCUUCUAGCAGAAUAUGAUACGAUUAUUUCCUGCAAGAACUGUAAGCUGACCCUUGAGGUUGCAAUUCAUAUCCAAACUGGAGAUUUAUCUAGAAACCUCUUUGAGAAAGGAAUUAAAUCUGUCAGUGGCCUAUCAAAUGCUAUAAGCAUGUAUAGAUCAGCUCUAGAGAAAAUUAGUAAUGCUGAAUUACAACGCCCUUGUAACUUCUGGGAUACAUCUGAACUCAACACUCUCUUGGUUAACACAGAUCAUGCUGUAGAAGCCAAAGGCGGAGCUCGACAAUGUGGUACAGCACCCUCAUUCAUUAAGGAAGUAAGGUCAUGUAUAUGCAGCAUCUGUCUUUCUUUACACCAGCGUUCCAGUGUCGACCGUCCUAGAUGUUUGCAGGCAGAGUAUAACAAACAAUCCUUCUCGAAUCCUGGAGCUGGAGAGUCGCUUGUGAAUAGUAAAGCCAAAAAAAUGUCAAGAAAUGCAUCAAAGGGUAUAUUGAAGGUGGAAAAAGCAGUGGCUGAAGCAAAAACAAUAAGAACUCGUUCUCGUAAACUGCUUGAACACAAAAAACAUGAAAAUGUUGCAGGUGAAGUGGAUUGUAAUUAUGACACAACUGUGAGUCAUGACCUCUGUGCUGAUUCUCUUAGUGCUAAAUGUUUAGAGAAGAAACUAAACACAAGCCGCCUAGAGGAUGAAUGCAAUAGAGAUGAUGAAUGUGACAAAGUAGGAUGUUGGAGCUGUUUUCUUAUUAAAGCACUAAAUGCCGGGCCUUUGGAAACCAUUUUGUUUCUGAAAUGGGAAUGCCAUCGGAGGCGUAUUCUUCUGAAACUGCUAUUAAAAAUAGGUAUUUAUCUUUCAUCUAGAAAUUCCCAUUAGAAUUAUAUUGUCAUAAUGAUUUAGUUCACUCUGCUGCUGCCAAAUAUCUGAAAGGCUUCUGCUUAUCCAUUCAGAUACUUAAAUUGUUUAUUUCUUGUAUAGCAAGAUCCUUGGGGGCUCAUGGUGGAAAGCAUGGUGCACAUGAAGUACAUGAUGUAUAUUGGCAAUCUAUUUCUCUGUUGUUCUACAGAUCCAUUUCUUGCAACUACUCUGAACUUAUGGGGCCUCGCUUAAUUGAGCUAAUUGCGGGCGAGAAUUUAGGCGAUACUCUUUCUAUUGAGCAUGCAGAGAUACUGUAUAACAUGAGCCUCUUUUCUCUAAAGGGAUGCCUUUCAGAGCAACCUAGGUGAUUAUGUUUCUUUUGUUGUUACUGAAUGUGCUCUGGCUUGUUUUGACUGUAAAAGUAUCACUUUCUAACAAUAGCACCUACUUAUGUUAAUAUACUUAUUCAAUUCACAUUUUCCAUGCACAGGGGCACAUGCUGCUGCCUUUCUAAUAUACAAAUGUCUGAUGUUGUUCCUUGGUUGUUGAGAGCAUUCAUAAUUUCCCAACAGUUCCCCUCACUUCUUCAGAAGGUCUUGAACGCAUUCUACACCUUUUAUUCCGUGCUUAGACAUUGGUAACUGGUUGCAUUGAUGCUGACAGAUACUCUUAGCUUUUUGAAAUAAUUGAAUGAGGCAGCAAGUUUUCAGCCUCCUCUAGUAUUUUUUUUUUUUUUUAUCAGUUAUAUGGAGUUAAGAGUGUGAGUUAAGGUCCAAAUUGUCCUCGUGCAGGUUUGCAGGCUUCUUGCUUCCAUAUAUUUGCUUUCAACAUUGGAUUACUCUACUUCUUUACCCUUGUAUUCUGAGAAAUCCCUCUCUUUGAAUCAUUGGGCUGCGUACUUCCAUCAAGCGUCUCUCGGUACUUUUCUGCAUCACCAUUACUUUUCUAGUUCCAGAGGGGUCUUCAACAAUAAAGCUACUGAGGUUUGUUUCUGUGUCGCCACUUCAGCCCAUUUGUUUGAAAUGUAUUAUUGUUUAUAAUUGUGAAAUUACGGUAGUUGUCUAGUGGGUACUGGUUUUUGUUCAUUCAAUUUCGUACUCAAAAUAGUGCACUAAUUUAAUUUGCCUUUCAUAUUGGUUAUUGUUAUCUGUAUUUUUUUUUACCUUCUCUCUCUUUGUUGGCAUGUUUUUCUAUUCCCCCUUUUUUUUUUUUUUUCAAUUUUACAUUUUUCUCUCUUUUUUCAUAUUUGUUAAUGUUAUCUGAAAAUGUUUUUUGACUGACUGCUCAAUCAUCAAUUUGGUAUCUUAGAUGUAGUUUUUAGUCCUUUGGUCACCAGAGUGCUGUAAAAUUAGCUUCUUUUCUCUCUCUCUCUCUCUCUCUCUCUCUCUCUCUAGCCUGCGCUUGAAAUUCCCUAAUUUUAUGUUUUUUUUUGCCCCUCGUUUUAUCAUUUCCUCUUCUAUGUUUCAGGACUGCCCUCGUAAUAUCAUGGCUGACACAGACAGCAGAACUUUCAAGUUUGUGAGGUUAAUUUCCUAUCUUACCUAGUAGCAAAUUUAGUGCUCGAAUAUUUUUGAUUUAGCAUAAUUGCAGUGCUAUCUUUCCAAUGCAGAUGUUCAGUAGAGAAACUCGAACAUCUCGAAGAGCAUAUAACUGACUUUUUUAGGAGCCUCCCGAAAGUUCCUAUCAUUUGCAUCAGCAUGCUUGGAGAUGAUUAUGUUAAUCUCCUAGGAGAAACUCUCCUUCUCCCUUCGUUCUUUCCGGCUUGGCUUUUGCUGUCAAGAUUGGAUUCAACUAGCCAACCAAUCAAUAUGCUUCUGCCUGUAGACACAAUUUCAGUAGGUAAACCGACUUCUUGCGAAGCAAAUAUAUGGUCAGUGAAAAAAAAAUACUAUGUAGUUUCAGCAUUCUAUUUCUUACUAUAGUGUCCUCUUGUCAGAGCUGCAAAUUGAAGAUGCUAUUUCUGGCAAAGAAUUCAUCAAUACAAGCAUGGUCUCUGUUAAGAGCUGGAAGUGCCCUUGGAGUUAUACUGUUCUGGAUUAUGUAGCCCCCUCUUUUAAACAGCUAUUGGAAGAGAACUUUGUAUCUCUAUCUAGCACAGCUCUUUCUCCAACUGAUGGACAAUUGGACCUCGUCAAGUGGUGGUCACAGAGAACCAAGCUCAAUAAUUGUCUAGAUAAGUUGUUGAAGUGAGUGCUUCUGGAUUUUAGUAGUUGCUGUAGAAAUUUCCUCAUGUUAUUCCAUUUGUCUUUUUUUGGUUUUAUUUGGUUUAAGAACAUUGUGAGAAAGCAUGUAGAUGAACUAAACAAUUAAGACGUGAGGUUUUAUCGGUGUAGGUUUUGUUGGUGCUGUAUGUUCUAAUCUUGAGUUACUCUUCAUUUCAAUUGCAAAGUUAACAACAUUUGUUGUGUUAUUGAGAUGAUAGAAUUUGUUUUUUGUACUACUUGAAUUCAAUUAUCUUUUCCUCAUGCAGAAUCAUGGAGGAAUCAUGGUUGGGACCUUGGGGUUGCUUGUUUUUGGGUGACCAUUCAGCUCAUCAACAGAUGGACAUGAUGGUAUUCAAGUUAAUCGAUUAUCUAAAAUCUCAAUUCGAGUUUGAAGUUAAUCAUAGUCUUGUGAAAGCUAUCCUAUGUGGUGCCAAGUCAGUAGCAGAUGCGGAAGCAUGCAUUUCUCAACUUGUAUUAUAUAAAGGCUACUUUGGUAGGGGAGCAUGUUGUGGGGAGGAAAGACUUAGGGCUUUCUCUGCAGCUUGCCAGAUAGAAGCCGAUUUGUUAGACUCAAUACUUAAGUUACUCAAAGAAGCAAUCAACGGGCAGGUAGUACCAAUAGAUAGAGAACCAGUGAUUCUUGUACUGGAUACUGAUGUGCAGGUGAGCCAUUCAAAGUUCUUAUCUUCCGAAGGCAUUAUUUGUCUGUUGUAAAAUUUUCUUUACAUGUGACUUAUUUUGCUUUCCUUCCUGGUGUUUCUUUUUUUUUCCUGAUUGUUUGUUCUUGAGAAAAAGCAUAAAACCCUAAAAUUGCUGACAAACAGUGAAGUUUCAUAAGUGUUAUAUAUAGGAAUAAUAAGAUUUUUCCUCUAGUGGAAUUGACUGAGCAUUUUACUACAAUAAGUUUGCAUAGAACAGUUCAUGAUAAUGUGGCCUUUCUACGUUUCUGAACAUAAUUAGAAAAUUGUUCUGUCUUAGACCUACUCCGCUCUUUACCAUCUCUUACAACAGACAGAAAACUUUCACACUCAGGAACCUACUCUUGUACAUUACAAGUCUCAUCUUUUAUUGCUAUAUGGAAAGCUAAUUGUGUUGUGACUUGCUGCAGAUGCUCCCCUGGGAGAAUUUACCAUUGCUAAGGGGUCAAGAGAUCUAUCGCAUGCCAUCAGUAGGAAGUAUUCUUUUGGGAUUCAAUAGAAACCAGCACCUUCAUAAAGAGAGGGAUGCAAUGGGUGCUUACUUUCCUGUUGUUGACCCUUUCAAUGCUUACUACUUGUUGAACCCUAGUGGGGAUCUCAGCAGCACACAAGUGGAAUUUGAGAAGCUGUUCAAAGAUCACAACUGGGAGGUAAAUUUACUCUUAUUUUGUGCAAAUAACAUAAUAAUAAUUGUACAUGUGAUAAGAAAAUUGUUUAUGACUGGCAGGUUCUUUUUUUACUUGCCACCCUCCCACGUAAAUCUGUGGUUAAUAAGUUGUUAUGUAAUCUUUGCAUUAGUUGAUUAGUCAUGUUGCUGUUUGCUUCCAAAAUGAAGCCUAAAUUGUAGCAUUAUAGUGGGUUUGUAAUAGAAGUAUUGUCUUUCUCUUUGGAAAUUUUGUCAUGCAAAGUUUAUGCAGGGGAAAGCUGGAAAUGCUCCAACAACUGAAGAGUUGAUUUUGGCUUUGCGGAAUCAUGACCUUUUCCUUUACUUCGGUCAUGGAAGUGGUAUGUCAUUGGAGAUACAAACUCUCUGUUUUCCAUUAUUUCAGAUAUUGGUGUUAUUUUUGCUAAGAUAUACAACUAAUCUGAAAUUUUUGAUUCAUUAAAUAUGAUGCAGGAAUUCAAUACAUUCCAGGAAAAGAAAUUGAAAAAUUGGACCAAUGUGCAGCUACUCUCCUUAUGGGUUGUAGUAGCGGAACACUCUUCUGCAAAGGGUGCUAUGCUCCUCAAGGUGUCCCUUUGUCCUAUUUAUUUGCUGGAUCUCCUGCUAUCGUCGCAAACUUAUGGGAUGUUUCCGAUAAAGAUAUUGACCGAUUUGGUAAAGCCAUCCUUAAUUCAUGGCUGAAUGACGAAGCAGUAGCUGUUAGCGACUGUUCGAGGUGCUCUGAAUUAGUGAAAGAAUUCGGAUGCAUGAAGAUUGGAGAAGAUAACGAUAAUGCUAGAAAGACAAGAAGGAAAGGGUAUAGAGGGAAGAAGUCUCAGCAAUCACGUGAGAGCAAUAAAUGCCACACUUGUGGGAGAAAGAGGAUAGCUUCAUAUAUGAGCCGGGCACGAGAGGCUUGCAAGCUCCCAUUGUUAAUUGGGGCAUCUCCUGUUUGUUAUGGGGUGCCGACUUUCGUGAGGAAAAAAUCAGAAUGAUUAGCUGCUUUACGGGUAGAUUUUCUUUUUGUUCCUGCAUUUCUCCUAGACUUUCCCUGCUGGUUCAGUUGCUCAUUCAUGAUGAAGCAAUACAGAUAUACCGAUUUACACCAUUCUUAUGACAUCCAAUUCGUACUCAGGAACAUUGCUCAAAUGCUUGUAUUAAGUGAUAUAUAAGAAAGAUAUUGGGAUUCUGAUGUACAAGCUCUUGCAAGUUCCUGAAUUGGACUUUACAUUUUGUUCUAGUUGUGCAUUCGGUUGAAAAACAUCAGCAAUUGUAUUCAUCCUUGUAUGCGAAUUGGAAAAAAAAAAAUAAGUUAAUAUAUUCGAAAUGGUUAUAGUUUGGAGUCCUGUGAUUAGCUUUUGUAUUUAUGUUUGCCCAGGAAUGCAGAUUGUGGACUCGUUUACUUUAAGCUAUCUAGCAAGUCUUAUAUUCUCUCUCUCUAUCUCUCUCUCUCUCUCUCUCUCUGGAUGUGGGAAUUUGCUCACUGAAUUUGCCGUACCUUUUCUGUGUUUCUUUGUAACUCCUUUAUAUCUGCAGAAUUUGUGGAAGACGGCAAUUUCCUUCUGCUGGAAUCAUUUUUUCUUAUUUAUGUCAAGCUAUCUGCUUUCGAGUUAUUACACCUUCCCUCUGAAUUGCAUCAUCGGCAUUCAAUAAUCUUCUAUUAGUUAGAUGUCUUGCAUGCUGGAAGCUCUAGCUGUCUUCGAUAACGUGUUGAUUAUAUUAUGUUAAAAGUGUUCUCAUGGCUGUGGUCGUUAACCAUACAGCUGAUUAUUAGCCAAGUUAUGCAUGACCUGUUCAUCGUAACAGGCAUAGUUAAAAUUUGUCAAUUUUUAUUCUGUUAUUGGAACCCACGUAUAAGGUACGAUUUGUUCGUCAGCUGCCUAUUAGACCUGUAAUUCUUGUGUGGACUGGGUAAAUGAGGCCAAGUCACUAAUGCUAGUUCAUUUCCAUAGUAAAAGUCAAUAAAACUGGUUUCAAACAAUCCCCAAGAUCAUGUUAAGGACUGACGAUAAACUAUAAGAAAAAAAAUUGAAAUGAUUGGUGAGUUAAGCUUCGACAUGGCCUAGUAUAUACUUCUAAUUGCUUAAUAUUUCAAUUUCGAAGUCUCGUUCUAUUCAAAAGAAAUUGACUUUCUGUUAUCGACUCUAUUCAAAAGAAAUUGGAGUUUCUGUUAUUGACGGCAUGAUCUAUAGCGCAUGAAGUCCGUUCCUCCAUCUGCGCCCCUAAUACGACACUAAGACCAUUGUAAUGUGAUUUACAGAAGAACAUGUAAUUCAUGCUAGGUACCGUCGAAUGAACUCGCCAAUUUCAGUUUCGGAGAAUUCUUAACCACUUCCAUACUGUUUAAGUAGAUAUAGAAGCAGCAAUAUCGAAUGCAGGGAUAUCAAGGCACAGCAGGCCAAGAGAUAAUUCAAAAGCUGAGAACAAAAGGACCAAAAAUACAUGCCUGCAUCCAUCAGGCUCAGGUUUUGCGGUUCCUGACCUGCCAUGAAAUUGACGCACUCCACAAACAGAAGGAUUUGAUCAGCCACAAAAGUCGUAGCAUUUUUUUAAACCUAACAUAGCAGCACAUUUAGCAGGAAAACCAAGACUGUCAGAUGCAAAUCGCCAAUACAGCACUCACUUCGCGCCUCCAACAGUUUUUAAGUGCUAGUUAAUCUGAAUAAUUUUCUGAGAAAAACACAGAUCUCAAGUAUCAAGAUCUAACAUGACACUAAAGAGCAGUGUAGUGCAGUGCAAUAAAAAGUCCACACAACAAAAAGGAGCAGCAACAUGUGUGAAAUUUUCUUUUGGCAACUAUGAAACAAAAGAUGCAUUGAUAUAAACCAAUGAGCUCACAGAUAAAAUAAGACCUUUUAAUUCCAUUCUUUACCCAAUGACCACAAAUCAGUAAAUCAAUGGAGAAGCUUAUGAAUAUUUUUCAGUCAUCAGCUAUUAUUAAUCAGCUUGUAUUCCUCCCCCUACUAGCAAACAAGACCAAACCCCUGAAACUCAGCCUACAUGCAUGACCAACCUUCCCCUGCUCCUGCGACGCCGUCUCCUCCGCCUCUCCGAGCUCACAACACCCAUACCUCCCCCUCGUGCCAUAACCGGAUCAACCUCGUCAUCAUCAUCCGAUGGAUAAGCAGCAUUUAGAUCACCACUGCCACCACUUCCAUUAAUGGGAGCAUAACUGUUAUCCUCGUCUCUACUUUCAAUAGCACUAUUAUUAUUCUCCCUAUGAAGCCUCAUGAGUCUCGCACUCUCCCUAAAUAAAAAGUACAGGAUGCUCCUGCUAAUACCCCGACCCCCUCCUCGAAAGUCCCCGUUGGCAUCGCCAAUCUCCUCAUCACUCUCACCAUCGCUGUCACCCAUUUCAAUUACAUAAUCCCCAAAUACCACAGAUCUCGGCAUCGUUGACCUAAUUGUACUGAUCACAUCCUGCCUCUCCCUUUCAUGUUCCAGCGUCCUCCACUUCUGCUCAAGUACUGGAUCCACCUCUCUUGGCUUCGCAGAAGGGUGCUCGGACCUCACAUGCCUUUUAAGUUCCUUAUAAGUCCCCAUAUACGAGCAGCCAUCUUGCAUGCAAGUCCUCUUUUUAGUAUUAAGAUAUUCUCGAGCUCGCUCCACCACCGUCCAGCCUUUCACCUGGCCACGGCAUAAAGGGCAUGAAAGCUCCAUUACUUCGGACUUCUCACUCGGGGGCCAGGAAAGACUACUAUUGGCGUGUGAGUCCUCGUUGAGGGAUGUCUCUUUAGUGUAGGCCUUCUCAAACUGGUCGAGACAGUUGGAGUGGCGGUAACUGGUCCCACACAUAUACGGGCGGCAGCCCUUGUUGUGGGAUGAACAAAGUAGGAGGACAGCAUUGUGUGGGUACUCCAUACACACCGAGCAGGUGGCAUCUUCCCAGUCCUUUUUCUCCAAAGAGGCUAAUGGUGUUUUCUUUCGGCUGGCUUGUUUCUCGGCUUUCCUGCUAUAGGAAGGAAUGGGAUAGGGAGUCGGCCUGAGCUGGCGAGUUGACAGCCUCCGGCCCCGUGCACUUCUCGCCAUUUUCUCGGAGUAUCUGCCAAUAAUAAUUGCAAGGCCUAAGCGAUUUAAUUUUGCAGACAGCCAAAGCAAGGUAUAUUACAAAUGAUCAGAAAAGACACAUCCUACAGCUAGAAGAGCCAAUGUGAUUAAAAUUAUACGAGGGAGCCAAUGAGAAGCAUCCAUACUCUCUUGGGAGACGGUGGAAUUCAAAUAGAGUAGAAGUCAUUCAAGCUGAUAGAAACAAAACCUAAGAAUAUCUGCAUAACAUAUAACAUAUGGGCUGACCCAAAAAUUGAAAGGCAUGUAAAUACUGUCGAAAUUGGCCUCUACAGUAAUAUAACCUGGGCAUCUCUCAUUUAAACACCAAAUAUUCACCACAUAGAAAGUAGAAUUUAAGUAAAGAUAGGAGGUAGUACAAUGGAAAAAGGGUAUCCUGUUUUAACCUAUAGUUUACUCACAGAAAUUAUUUAAUCAUGUUACGGUGCAUAAUCUCUAGGCAUCUCUUAGCAUUUGUCACUAAAAGUCGCAUAAACUUAUGUUAUGAAAUAGGCUAACCACAAUUUAACAUAUACUAAUGCCAUAAAAUGGAAUAAGGUGCAAAAAUGAAACUCAUAAAAUCUAUGUUCAAGUUGUGGAUGGCAAUAAGAAACCCUGAAAAGAGGAUUAACCAUGGCUUUUGGUGUUUCUCUGUAGCAUUUCUACAACAUCGAACUAAUCAACUGGCCAAAAAUAACUGAAAAUAAAAGUUGAGUAAUACAACAGUGAAAAACAAGGGACAAUUUGAAUAUGAUGAUAGCUUUGAAAGUUUAGAACAAGAAUUCAUGGUUGGCAAGGUAGCCAGGUGGAUGCAGAGGUAACAGGACCCCCGAAUGCAAGGCAAUGAUUAGUGCAGUAAUAAGAAGCUUCUGAGAAGUAUAGAAUUCAGUGCUAGAAAACCAUCGACGAACAUGCAGAGUAAGUUUACUAACAAACAGAAACAUAACAUGCAGGUCAUCAAACCAUAAGUAUAAAGCUCUAUAGAGCACUUCUAAUAAAUGAUAUGCUAAAUUUGCUCCUCUCUCGUCCUAUACCCCUCACUAAUCUUCAAAUUUCCUACAAUUCCUUUACACUUUGCUCUUCAUCUCUCACUACUCAUCCAUUGAUCAACCAGCUCUGAGAUCUCUAGCAAUAUCCAGCAUGCAAGGAUGCAAAGCCCAGAGGAACACGAGGCAGAGAAAUAGGAAAAAAACCAACUUUACCUCCAGAGAUAGUAGAAGAGACGUAUCAAAUACACUUUUCACUAAGAAAAGCACAAAUGAACACCAGAUAGAUGCAGAACAAGAUGGUGUUCUCCCAGAAUAAAACAACCCACAGAUUGAACUAAAAUAAAAUCAAAAUCAAAUAAAAAGCAUCAUAAUCAAAGAACAACGAAAGAAAAGGGGAACCCUACAAUCACCGGCGAUCUCAGCAUCUCAACAUCGACUAGUGAGAUCUCUCACGUCUCCAAAAAGGGCACGGCGCAAAAAGAAAAAGUAGGGUUUUGAAAAAGAGAAAAAAAAAAAAAAAAAAAAACAAAAAGGCUUGGUUUCGACGCCACCGGUGGUCCCAGCUUCCCCAAUACAAGCACGAAGCAUCCGCGAUUCCCACAAAAGAGAUAAUCGUAGGGUUCGGAGCGAGAGGAGUACCUCGAAAUGGGGAGCGAAGCGAGGAGAGAGAGAGAGAGAGUGAGGGGGAGGGCCGCGCCUAGGGUUUCGCGGGAGAGGAGGGAGACGAUCGAUCGAUCGAUCGAUCGAUGGAGCUAGAGCGCUCGCUCCUCCGUAGGAGUCGCGAGAUACGGAGGGAGGAGGAGAAUGGGGGAGGAGAGAGAGAGAGAGAGAGAGAGAGAGGGGGAGUGGCGAUGAAUAGAGAAAUGGAUUUGGAUUCUCGAAACAGCGGCGAGAGAGAGAGAGAGAGAGAGAGAGAGGGGUCGUGGCUACGCUUGGGUUCGCAGUAAUCGGCGAGUGGAAUCUCGCGCCCGAGAGAGAGAGAGAGAGAGAGAGAGAGAGAGAGAGAGUUCGAGAAAUGGGUUGGUGCUUUUGGGAGAAUUUCUUUUUGCCCCCCCCUUUUUUUUUUUUCUGAGGAAAUAGAAAUUAAACUACUUUUUCAUUUUAUAAUGGAUAAAAUGAUACAAUAGUUUAUAGGAUUAAGGCUUUAUUUGGGAUUACGGUAAAAUUAUAUUACGUACGGUAAAAAAGUAUAUUAGAAAAAUACCUUAUUUAUUUUCUUACGUAAUAUCGCAUUCUGCAUAUCACGGUGAGUCGGUUAUGAUAUAUUUUAUACGAUUUCACGGGAGAACGCAGAAGCAUAUCUCUAUAUACUUUUACAGCAACUCUAUUUUAUCUAAUAGCGUCAGAUCGAUCUCAAUGCUAAACUAAAUCUUAAAAAAAGAGGCAAUUAUUUAUAUACCUCUAAAAAGUUUUUCACUUUCUGAUUUACCGUUUUUAGAAAGCUAAUAUUAUAAAUAUCUUUUUUACGUUUCAAGUUAUUUGAAAUAUACUACUAGAGUUAAAUUCUGUUAGUGAACGAUUAGCAAUAGCCGUUGUUUCUGUAAAAUUACUAUUUUGCCCUUUCUAAUAUACCGUUCUACCAUCACCAAUUUUUCUUAUUUGCUCUUAAGUUAGGAGUAAAAGAAGUAUUUUGAUUUUUUGUCUUUUCAAAUAUACCUCUCUAUAAUUACCAAUUUUUUUUAUUUGCUUCUAAGUUAAGAGUAAAAAAGGUAUUUUGAUUUUUUUUUUUUAACUCUGGCAGACAUUUUACUCACGUUUAAUCCGAAAUAACUUAAUAGAUAGUAACUAUAGGAGUAUUUUUAAAUAACGGAGAAACAUGUGAAAGAUAUAUUGGAAACAAAAAAUAAGUAGGGGCAAAUUAAAUAUUUUCAAAAUUUUGAAGGGUAUAUAAGUAAUUAUGCCUAUUAAAAAAUAUCUUAAGAAAGAUAUAUGAAAAUACUUCCGAUAAAUUAUAUUCACAAAACUUUAAACAAAUUUUUAAUUAAAAAAAUUGAUAAGAUUAGUAAAGNGUAGGGGCAAAUUAAAUAUUUUCAAAAUUUUGAAGGGUAUAUAAGUAAUUAUGCCUAUUAAAAAAUAUCUUAAGAAAGAUAUAUGAAAAUACUUCUAUAGUUAUAUUCUCAUAAGAUUUACAUCAAGUUUAGAAAUGCACAUAAAGGAUUGCUAAAAAAAUAUUUGGUUCCGCGGAGAGUAGAGUGAGAGAACAAGAUAGUGUGUUUACUUAAAAAAAAACUGAAAAGAAAAGAAAAGAAAAAAAAAAAACAGUUUGGAGGAAAUUUAUUUAUUUUUAUAUCUCUCCAAAUAAUAUAAUUGUAAUUGUAACUAAUUUGCUCAUGGUUUCAAUUGUAAUACUUGAAUUUAAAUGUAUCAAACAAAAUCCUUAUUUGGAUUUAUAUUCGAUUACUACUACAGUUUAGCCAUAAUUACAUACAAAUCAAACAACUCUAUCAGCCGUUUGGCUGAAUGUAAUCGUAAAUAUAAGGUACCUGUAAGUAUUUUAUUUUUAACUACAUGUAUUUUAUUUGGGUAAACAUAUUACAAGUUUUAUUUUUUAUUGGCUUAAUUAACCUGUAUAUAUAUGUAUAGAACUAGGUUGGAAUACUAUUAAUAGCACCAAAUUAUUGAUGCUAUUAGGUUUUCGACCUUUGGAUUAAGGAUUGUGCGGUUAGAAUGAUAGUAGUCUCCUAGGGUUGAGUGGGUGAUUGGUUGAAUAGUAUAAUCUAACGGAUGGAAAUGAUCAAAAGAAUAGAUCUAAUGACAGAAAACUUGGUAGUACCAAGUGUUUGGUAUUAUUAAUAGCAUUAUAGCUGGACUCUCUCUCUCUCUCUCUCUAUAUAUAUAUAUAGUUCGGCUAUGGUGCUUGUGAAAGCACGAAGUAUUUGGUGCUUAUAAAUUUUUUUACCGUUAGAUCUACGUUUUUUAUUAUUUUCAACUGUUAGAUUAUACUAUUCAACCAACCACCCACUCAAACCUAGGGGGCUCACAUCAUCUUAACCGCAUAUCUCUUAAUCUAAUGGCCAAAAAUCUAUAAGCACAAAUAACUUAGUACUUUUAAAAACUUAGGAGAUAUAUAUAUAUAUAUAUAUAUAUAUAAUUGAGCACGGCUAGAAUACUUGUAAAAGUAUCAUGGGGGUGAUACUUGUGUGUUUUUAGCCCUUGGAUGGAGAGAUGUGAGGUUGAGAUGAUGGUGGUAGGUGGUGGUAAGUGGUGGUAGGUGGAAUAGUGUUUGAUCCAAGGGCUAUUUGUAUUCAAAAAAUAGAUCCAAUGGCUAAAAACGUGAUAGCAAUAUGGGGAUGAUACUUGUAAAAGUAUCCUAGAUCAACUCUCUCUCUCUCUCUCUCUCUCUAUAUAUAUAUAUAUAGGGUCCGGCUACUAUCCUAUUAAUAGGAUUGGGACCCUUGUCCUAUCAAGUCGAUUUGAAUGAUCGGAAUUUCAAAUUGAUAAUUGGCACCGUUGAAGUUGAUCUACACAAUUAGAAAUAUUUAGAAACCAAAUUUUGUAUUAUUUAAAAAUCAUUAUCAAGUCCAUCUUAAGAGUUGAAAAAUGAACGGUCAUAAAUGAAUAACCUUCUUAAAAUAAGGUUAGACUUUCUCAGUUCGUAAUCAGAGUUAUCAAACAUUAUCUAAAUAGUAUAAAGAAUUUUCUAUCAAAAAUUCAAGCAAUUUGGAUUGCUCUACACCGUUAAACAAGCAAGCGGCUUCAUAUGACCGUAAAAAAUUGUCGAUUUACGACAUCUUUGAUUACCAUAUAAACCUAUACAAAAUUUUGAAUUUAAAUUUUUAAUAUUUCAAAAUACUCAGACAAACUUCAACGCUGCCGAUCAUCGAUUCGGAAUCAUGAUCAUCAAGAACAAAUUAGAUUAUGGACAAGUGCUUUCCUAUUCUAUUAAUGGAUCAGUAGCAAUUAGCUAUAUAUAUAUAAUAAUAAUAAUAAUAAUAAUAAUAUAAUAAUAAUAUGGCAUUUACAUUAUUUAAUCACAAAAUUAUGAUAGGCUACAUGUAUCGGAAGCACGGAGCCUUCCGUCGCUUCAGCCGUUUCGAGUUUGCGCAAACAUUUGACAGAUUGUCGAAUCGGCGCGCCAGUUAAUACUUGAUCUCAGUUUUGGAGUACUAGAAAACAUUAUUAUAGAAUGGUUUUUAGUUAAAUUAUUUUCGAUACCAUUUGCUACCUGUGAGACGAAUGAGCCAAAAUCAACGGCUGAAAAUAAAAUCUUUACAAAAUCCGAUUAAUAAUAUGACAUUAAAAUUUAUAAUCAAAGAUAUUGAUGUUGUUUUAUAUAGUAUAAAGAAUUUUCUAUCAAAAUUGUCCAUGAUUUGGAUAUUUCUACACGUGUUAAACUUCAACGGUCUCAUACGGCCAUUGAGAAUUUGUUGAUUUUGAGCCCAUUCGAUCAUCUAGGCACAAAUAGUAUCUGAAAAAUAAUAAAAUUUAUUUUUAGGUACUCAAAUACGUCUAGAUUCAAGUUAUAACGGAGUCGAUCGGACGAUUCGGAAAGUCGCAACAUCAAAACGAGCUGGAAAGCAAUUCAUUUGCCUAGUGAUCUGAAUAGGCUCAAAAUCAACUAAUUUCAAUGACCGUAGUGAGUCGUUUGCAAGUUUAACGUUGUUUUGUGGUAGAAAUAAUCAAAAUCACUCCGUAAAUUUUGAUAGAAAAAUUCUUUAUACUCUAUAAAACAAGAGCGAAUAUCUUUGAUUAUAAAUGUUUAAUGUAUAUUAUUUACAUUUAUGUAAGAUUUUUAUUUCAGCCAGUUGAUUUAUGAGCCCCUUAGUUCACUAGGCCACAAAUGAUAUCCAUAAAAUCAUAAAUUUAAAAUAGUUUUCUAGGUACGUUCAAUAUCUAGAUCAAGUUUAACGGAAACCGAUCGACGGAUUCGAAAAUCAGAACAUCGAAAAUGAGCUGGGAAGCACGAAGGUCCGUGCUUCCGAUAGGAUUGUAGCCAUCACAUCGUAUAUAUAUAUAUAUAUAUAUUAUAUAUAUAUAUAUAGUAGAGCUCCUGUGCUUUUAAAAGCACGGAGCUCUUGUGCUUGGCAUUUUUUCACCGUUGGAUCGGCUUCGCCUCGAGAUCCGCGCCUGCACUUAAGGGGUGAACUAGAUGGACAGCCAAAUAACGCCGUUCCUCUCUCUCCUCUCUCUACACGUGAAGCCCCCUCUCUUUUUACCCUCUGGCAACCCACCCUCUCUCUCUCUCUCCUUUCUCUCUCUCUCUCUCUCUCUGGUUCCCCCACCAGAUCCAGAUCUUUUUCUUUUUUUUUUUUACUUUUUCUCCCUCCAUCUCUCUUUCUCUUUCCCUUUCAUCCCGGACGCCCCCUCCGCGCCGCCUUCCGGGCCGCGGCGCUACAGGAUCGCUCCCGGACGCGCCCCUUCGCGUCGACGCCUUCUGGCCCGCGUGCUAUAGGAUCGCUCCCGGACGCGCCGCGCUCCCUCGGCCCCGUGAGCUACUCGGAUCGAUCCCGGGCAACGAUCUGAGGAUUUAGUUCUCCAACUGCGGCGGUUCCCGCACCUCCGACCCCUGACGGCGCCGUUCUCGUGAAGAUCUCGAAGGUAAGCGUCUCGGUUAUUAUGGGAACUUCUGAUUUUGUGUUUAUGCAUAUGUCAUUGUCAAACCAAAAUUUGAUUCUUUAUUAAUUGGACCUGAGCACUUGAUUUUGUAAAAUUUCUCCCUUUUAAGCUUAUGAGAAAUUGGUAUUUGCAUUUGGAUUAGUAUGCUUUGAAGUAGAGUGUUUGGUUUCUGACAAAGCUCAUAAUUGAUCUGGGGUAUUCAUUGGUAUUUGCAUUUGGAUUAGUAUGCUUUGAAUUAGAGUGUUUGGUUUCUGACAAAGCCCAUAAUUGAUCUGGGGUAUUCUCAAAAAAUCUCAUCAAAAUAGGAUCUUGGGGAUCCAUCUAAGAUAUGUGCAUUGUUGUUGUUUAAUCUUUAUGCUUUAUUUAAGGAUCCAUCUAGGAUCUUGAGGAUCUUGUCACAAUUUAUCUUUAAGAGGCAAUUCUUUUAUUUGUUAAUUUUAUCUGCUGCUUUUAUGUAAUAUGCUCACUGAUUUAUUUAUUUCAUAGCUUUCUGGAGUAGUUCCACCUCCUUUAUGCAGAAAUGCCCAAAUGUACUUGAAUGCUAUGGGUGGCGAAGUCACUACCAGGUUGAAUGUAAAUGCAGCAAACCAAGUACCUAGAAGAAUGUAAUGUCCUCGUAUUUGCAGAGUUAAUGAAGUCUGUACAUUUACUAAUAUGGCUGAACAUUCUUGUGCUUAUUGUUUUGGAUAUGUAUAACAAUUCUAGAUCACCGUUUUCUUUGCUUUCAUUUUGUUAUUUUGAGGUUCAUUUUUUGUUCUGAAUCAUUGAAGCUCAUCUCCUCGACUUUUGCUUGUAGAUAGUCCUCGUCUGUGGACUAAGAAACAGAAACUACUCAUCUGUGGGAGCACUUUCACUUUUUGUGUUCUUCAUGCAAAAUCUUUCUUUUCCUCCUGUAUUCUUUGCUAGCUCCUUUGUUUCGUUAUAUCAUCUCUUUUUGCUGUUUCAUGCUUCCUUGUUCAGUGUUUUUGUUCGAUAAAAAUAGAUGAUAUAGUCAGGUAGUUUUCAGCCCCAGUUAUUUUAGGUAAUUGUUAGACUACUAUGGCAUCUUAUGUUAGUGCCAGUUUGGACAUUGUGGAAGCAUAAAUGAAUCAAUGUGUGAAAGUUUGAAAUUGGAAAUGAACUGGACAACCUUUUGCAAGCUAUCGAUGGUUGGGUUAGAUCUGAUAGACUUAAGCUGGUUCUUCCUCCCCCAAUUGGAUAAAUUUGAUCCAAUACCUACUUGCGGGGUCAAAUUCACCUCUGAUAGACAUUUCUUGAAGAGAUGCUUCAUUUGUUACUCCCUUAGAAGUGCGACCUUAAAAUCUUCUUUAACUGAAAUUAUCAUCUAUAUAGUAAAUCAGCCCCCAAAAAAGAUGCAGCCCAUUUCCUUGGUUGAGUUUGAUUGUAAUAUAAUUGUAAUUAACAUUAAGCUGAAAUUAGAAAAUUCUAAAUCAUGAAGGCUGAUUGGCAUGCAGGCCAACUGUUGUAGACUAGCUAACUGAUCGGUCAUCUUAUUGCGGACAAGUUGAUCAGCCAAGUAUUGGGAGAUGCAGUUUAAUGUAAGCAUACAUAAUUUUGAAGUACACAUUAUAAACACAGAUAUGUUUUUCUCCUACUACACAUUAUAAACACAAGUGUAGAUAUGUUUUUCUCAUAUCUGUGUUUAUGCUUACACAGAUAUGUUUUGAUCCAUAUCGAGGCUACUACACAUUAUAAACACAUGAUAAACAUGCGGAAGGCGUCGGCGCGUCCGGGAUUGAGUAGCGCUGCGGCUCGGAAGGCGUCGGCGCGGACCACCACCGUAGAGAAGGGAAAAGAGGAAGAGAGAUCGCACGGCCUAGAAGGCCUGGAAGGCGUCGGCUCGUUCGGGAUCGAGUAGCGCUGCGGCCUGGAAGGCGUCGGCGCGGACCACCACCGUAGAGAAGGGAAAAGAGGAAGAGAGAUGGAGGGAGAAAAUGAAAAAAAAAGAAAGAAAGAAUGGUUUGGGAACCAGAGAGAGAGAGAGAGAGAGAGAGAGGGGGGGUUGUCAGAGAGAGAAAAGAGAGAGAGAGAGAGAGAGAGAGAGAGAGAGAGGGUGGGUUGCCAGGAGGAAUUCUAUACUGUCACACUUGCACCACGUCAUCAAUAACAAGCCAAUCACAUUCAUUCUUUUCAAACAAAAAUAUGAUAAAAAUACUUUUUUACAAUCAUGAUGGGACAUAUAUUCUUAAAAGGAUUAAUUUGAUUGGUUUGUUACGCCACGUCACUAAUAUAUCCGUUGCAUUCUAGAAUUUUUCGGUUGCCAGAGGGUAAAAAGAGAGGGGGCUUCACGUGUAGAGAGAGAAGAGAGAGGAAAGGCGUUAUUUGGCUGUCCGUCUAGUUCACCCCUUAAGUGCGCACGGAUCUCGAGGCAAAGCCGAUCCAACGGUGAAAAAAAUGCCAAGCAUAAGAGCUCAUGUGCUUUUAAAAGCACAGGAGCUCUACUAUAUAUGAAUUAAACUCCUAUGCUUUUAAAAGUACCAAAUUAUUGGUGUUUGUAGAUUUUUAGCCAUUAUAUUAAGAGAUAUGCGGUUAGGAUGAUGUGGGUCCCCUAGGGUUGAGUGGAUUGUUGGUUGAAUAGUAUAAUCUAAUGGUUGAAAAUGAUCCGAGAAGUAGAUCUAACGGUAAAAAACUUACAAGCACCAAAUGCUUGGUACUUUUACAAACACCAUAGCUGGUAUAUAUAUAUAUAAAAGCUAUCUUGGUACAUAACAGAAGUACCUCAUAACAGAAGUACCUCUUGCGCAGAUUUUGAUGCUUGAGUUUCCUUUUUAUCUCUUCAUCUGUUCUUUUUGUUAGUCCUAUCAUGAAUCUUUCCUAGUAUUACACUACAAAAUUUUCGUUAAAUUUUAUUUUUUUUAUUAUAGAAGUAAAGUUUGUAAAUUUGAUACUAAAAUUAUAUAUAUAUAUAUAUAUAUAUAUAUAUAAUAAAAUUAUAAAAAAAUAAUUUUUUAUUAUCUUAUACUCGCUCAACAAGCAGUUAAACGAGUGACUCUCGACCCGAUAAUAUUUAUGGUUCACGAUUCGACCGAUUUAAAAGAAAAAAAAUGAGAGUGUGAAGUGCUUCUUUCUUAUUGUUAUAUGUGAUUUGCACUCAUUAGCGUGCUGUUUUGGUUGUGCUUCAUUCUCAAGCUACUUAUUUGUAACGUAAUCAACCUAUCUUGAAUUGAUUGUUGGAGAGGAGUUCGGGCAAUACAAAAUAUUUUAUUGAACUGAUUAUUGGGUACUGAUUUAAUUUUAAUAAAGUUGAUAUAUCUAAUCAUUUAAUGAUAGAGUAACAUUUUUACUGUCAUUUUUACUUAGAACAUAACACGUAAUCAUUGAGAGAAAUCCCAAACUACAAGCCCGGUAAUGUUUAACCCAAAAAAUAAUACGGUUCAACAUAAUUAUCAUAAAAAAACUAUUUAUUUAAAUAUUUAAAACUAUUCAUGUACAAAUGAUGAAAGAUUUAACUGUUGGUAUUUGAAAUCUUAAAUCCGAAACUUAAUUAUUUUAUAUUUUGAGCUAAGUUCUCUCUCUCAUAUAUAUAAGAAAAAGAACUUUUCAGGAACAAAUUAAAAUUGACCGAUUAUCAGAUAUGAAAACGACUAUUCAAUCCAAACUGCGAUCCCUAUCCUGUACCCAUCAGGUCAAGAUCCUAAUAUCAAACAAUCAAAACUUAAAAGUAACUUAGAUACAUUAUUAUCUAGUUAUAUUCAGAUAAGUUGGAACUAGUUGGAUUAAGGAGGGGGCCAACUUUAAACUUAGGAUUUAUUUAGAUAUCAGAAUAAGUCAUUUAAAAAUAACUUAUUGGGUAUAAAUUUUUUUUAUUAUGAUUGUAAGUAGAAAAGUUUGAUUUUUUUUACCUUUUGAAAAGUUUUGUUAUUCAUAAUUUAGUAAGAUAGCAUAUUUCACAUACGGGAUGAUUUAUUUUAUUUUGAAAAAAUAAUUUGAAGAUCGAAUAUGAUAUUCCAUUUUAAAUGCUAAUUACACUUCUCAUCAACUAAAACAUACAUCAAAUAAGAUAUUCAUGCAUGCAAUCAGAACCUUAGGGCCUGUUUGGUGGUACGUUGUUAUAACUAUACUAUAAUUACAUGUUGUUAUUACUGUACUAUACUUAUAAUUGUUGGCUUAAAUGGAUCAGCAUCCUGUCCUGUGGCGGGACGCCAUGUGGGCCGAGUCAUGUUCGAAAUGGCGUGAGGCUGGGUUAGGCCGAGUCAUGUUCGAAGUGGCGUGAGGCUGGGUUAGGCCGAGUCACAAUUGAGAGCCGUGGGCGCUGUUUCUGUACGCUUUAAGUGAAUUGGUUGCGUAUUUCUAACAGCGCGAGCUUUUGGGAUUAAUGGUUAGCGCCAACAAUCCGACAAUAACUACAUGUAGAUUUAAAUUCGAUGUUUGAUUUGAUUUUUUGGACUAAGUGAAUUGGAGCCAACAGAAGUUUUGUGCUGAAGAUUGCUUUCAUUUGGUUAGAGUUGUAGGAAACUUAGCUCAGGGCCUGCCCAGCAAAAUCAAAAUGGGUUUAUCCUAAUUAUGUUCUCUUAAUAGGUGUAAUAUCCGUGAAAAUUUCAUAUAAGAUAGGAAAGAAAAAUCUAUAAUUCAAAGGUAUCAGAAAUAUUAAUAAUAAUAACUAAAUUUAAAUAUUUUAGACUAGAACUGAAUAUCAGCUAAAAUGUGAGAGCUAAGUGUUAUACAUAAUAAAAUAUUUUUUUUUGUUUGAGAGAUAGGUAGCACGCUACCCGCUUCGUUUAUUUCAUUUAAAAAUAAACUUAGCUAGAAAUGUGAAUCAACUAGGAUUCGAAUUUGGGUCUCGGGUACCAACCAUUAAGCCCUUUGCCACUUGCUCUAGGGACGGUCGGUAACAUAAUAAAAUAUUAAACGACGGAUUUGAUGGAUACUAUCUCACACCGUUUGUUAAUUCGGAUUUAUAUGUGUUAGUGAAUUAGGUUGUUGCAAUAGAUUCAUAAAUAAAGAUAGGAAAGCUAGAGAGUGAAUAAAAAUUUCGAAGGGAUGAUCUCCACUAUAAGAUUACUUUAUUUACCGUUUAUCUUGUGAAUAGUUGAAUAGUAUGAAUUUGAAAGACGCAUGAAUAGUAUGAAUCUGAAAGACGCAUGAAUAGUUAAUGAAGCGAUCUUUUAUUGGAGGCUAUUCUUUUUUUUUUUAAAUUUUAAUUUCUAUGGAGAGAUACUUUCAUUAUGUAUCAAGAUAAUAGGUUAUAUAUAAAGUAUCUCAUGUGCUUUUGAAAGUACGGACAUAUUCGUGCUUUCAAAUUAUUUUCAAUAAUAAAAUAUCCGAUUCGAUGAUCAAGUUUGUUAGACAUAAUUUAUGCUAUUAAAACUAUCUAGAAACUAAAUCUUAUUAGUUUUUGACAUUAUUUAAACCCGGUGAACAAAAGAUUUCAAAAAUGACUGUUUUAAAAAUCGAUGUAACACGUUUGUAAGUUCAAUGAUAAAAAAUAAUUCAAAUUAUGUGAAAUUUUAAUAAAAAUUUUUAUUUAUUAUCAAGAGCAAGGUUCAUAUUUUCGAUUUAAAAUUUAAGCCUUUUAUUAUUAUUUUUAACAAAGUUUUUAUUUUCAGCCGUUCAUUUUGAGACUAUACGUUUAUUAGGCAAAUAGGAUAAAAAAUUAUAAAAUUUGAUUUCUAGAUAGCGUUAAUCAUGCUUAACGAAAACGAUCAUCAAAUUGAAUAUCAUCGAAAACUAUAUGACAGUACGAAGGUCUCUAUACUUUUGAAAGUAUAGUAUCCUAGCUUUUAUAUUAUAUAUAGGAUUAAUUAAGAUGAUAAAUCUUUCUAAUCUCAUUAAUUAAACAAAUCAAUCCACCUCAGUUGAUUCGGUUUAGUUUCAUAUGUAAUUCAAUUCGACUAAAAAAAAAUCCGAAUUAAUCAGAUAAUUGAUUCUUUAAUUAAUGAGAUUAGAAAGAUUUAUCAUCUUAAUUAAUCCUAUAUAUAAUAUAAAANAAAUCAAUCCACCUCAGUUGAUUCGGUUUAGUUUCAUAUGUAAUUCAAUUCGACUAAAAAAAAAUCCGAAUUAAUCAGAUAAUUGAUUCUUUAAUAAUAUAAUAUAUAUUAAUUUUAAAUUAUAAUUAAAUAAUUUGGGUUAUAUAUUUUCAGAUGCAAUCAAUUAAAUUUUAAUUAUAAAAAAUAUUUAUUCGAAUUGAAAUAAACAAAAGAGAACCAACCAAUUUUCAUAUCCUAGGGGCAUGUUUAUUUUCAUCAAAAGUGAAAGAGAGCAAAAUUGUUUUUAAUUAUAGUGUCCAUUUCUUUUAUUUGGUUGGCCGUAAAUUAAAAUUGUUUAUAACUCCACUUUUGCAAAACGUCGUAAUUGACUUCACCUUGAAUAAUGUUAAAGUCAAAUAUGAAAGCAAAAAUAAAAAAUAAAAUGUUAAUUGCUAUAACUAUUUUUCACUCUCUUAUGCGUUAGUGUGAAAAUUUUUCUUAAAAUAAUAAAGAAAAACAAAAUAUUUACCGUUCCAAAACUGUUGACGCAUUAUCAACCAAACAACAACAUUUGACUGUAUUAGCAUGGACAAUAAAAUGGCGAAUCAUUAAAACUGUCUGGUUCAUUAUUAUUAGAAUGAAAAUCGAAAUAAAUAUCUAAGAUCUUGAGAGAGUGUUUUGAUUAAGGAAGAGAGCGAUGAAGGGAGAGAGAAGAUGGAGGUGUUUGUGAGAAAGAGUUUUGAAUGGUUUAUUCUGAAAUGAGCCAACUAAAAUUUAAUGCUUGAUUGGGUCAUAAGUAGAUUAAACGACGGAAUCUAAUUUCUGUAAAAUAAACAACACCCUUCAAAAUUAAUGAAUUUUAUUCCAAUUUUAUAGUGUAAAUAGGCGACAAACAAACAAACAGAUCGAAUGUUGGACACUUUUAACCAAAUGGGCCGGAUACGAGCCCAUGGGCCGAACGUAUCGGUCCAAGAUCCCAUUCUCAUAUCACCUUACUAAACCCCGGAGAUUUCGGCAAAACGUAACCGUCCAUCAACAGUUACACGCACUCUCCAAAUUCUUCUUCAACGGUCAAGAUCACUCCUCAGAUGCGUUAGUUUUGUUCCCGUUACGGAUACGGGACAUGUACCCGCUACGCGUAAAAACACACUAAACUCGUAUAAACUCUACAGUAUACGAGGCGAUUAAGUUUCCUCCCCCUCACCCUCCCCCUCAUCCCCUUCCCCCGCGUCAUAUAAUAGGGUUUUCCAAAGCCAUAAAGAAAAAUCAACCAAAACCAAAAAAGACAAAUUAUUAUAAGAGAAACAGAUACAUACUCUCUCUCUCUCUCUCUCUCUCUCUCUCUCCACACACACACACAAACACACACGCACACCAAAUUCUCCUUCUUGCGUUUAAGGUAUCAAAGAGAUAGAGCGAACUUAUUCGCUGUAAUUCCAAUUUCCCUUGGAGUUAUUCCGAGUAUUAGAAUCCGACGACGACGACGACGACGACGACGACGACGAAGCCAUUCGCCGGCGCGUCCCACCCGCCGCUGGAAUUGGGAUAAAGAGUGGGAAUAGCGGAUAAGAAGGCGAAUAAGGGCGCGUCCUUAUUCGGCGUCGUAAGCAAUCCCAAACCCUCGAUCUUGGGUGUCGAACUAACUUGCUAGGGUUUUCUAGGGUUUCCGGUACUUGGUUCUCUCCGGGGGGAGGAGAUCGAUUCCGCGUCCCUGUUUUGGUUGCUAGGGUUUCCGAUGGUGCGCCCUCGAGGGCAUUGAUGCGGGGCGACGAUGGAUGCGUAGAGAGUUUUGUUGUUUAAUCCAUUGAUAGGCUCGGGUGAGUGCACGGUACGUUGAUUUUUUUUUUUUUUUUUUUGGAUANAAGAAAAAAUGGUAAUUGAUUUUUCUUUUUUUUUUUAUUUUCUGUUUGUAAUCGGGCCAAAUGGACUGGGUGUGGUGGGUUGAGUAGAGUAAUCUUUUAUUUUUGGUUGGAUUGGGCUUUAUAUUUAGGCAUUAGCAGAUAUUUUUUUAAGUUUUAGCAUAAAUGUGAUACUUAUCCAAAAGUGUCCCAAACAUGUGUUCCUAUAACCUAAUUCUGUUGUAGUGUCAAUUAAAUUUUAAUUAUAAAAAAUAUUUAUUCGAAUUGAAAUAAACAAAAGAGAACCAACCAAUGUUCAUAUCCUAGGGGCAUGUUUAUUUUCAUCAAAAGUGAAAGAGAGCAAAAUUGUUUUUAAUUGUAGUGUCCAUUUCUUUUAUUUGGUUCGCCAUAAAUUAAAAUUGUUUAUAACUCCACUUUUGCAAAACGUCGUAAUUGACUUCACCUUGAAUAAUGUUAAAGUCAAAUAUGAAAGCAAAAAUAAAAAAAUAAAAUGUUAAUUGCUAUAACUAUUUGAAAUUUUUUCUUAAAAUAAGAAAGAAAAACGAAAUAUUUAUCGUUCCAAAACUGUUGACGCAUUAUCAACCAUACAACAACAUUUGACUGUAUUAGCAUGGAAAAUGAAAUGACGAAUCAUUAAAACUGUCUGAUUCAUUAUUGGAAUGAAAAUCGGAAUAAAUAUCUAAGAUCUUGAGAGAGUGUUUUGGUUAAUAAAGAGAGCGAUGAAGGGAGAGAGAAGAGGGAGGUGUUUGUGAGAAAGAGUUUUGAAUGGUUUAUUCUGAAAUGAGCCAACUAAAAUUUAAUGCUUGAUUGGAUCAUAAGUAGAUUAAACGACGGAAUCUAAUUUCUGUAAAAUAAACAACACCCUUCAAAAUUAAUGAAUUUUAUUCCAAUUUUAUAGUGUAAAUAGGCGACAAACAAACAAAGAGAUUGAAUGUUGGACACUUUUAACCAAAUGGGCCGGAUACGAGCCCAUGGGCCGAACGUAUCGGUCCAAGAUCCCAUUCUCAUCUCACCUUACUAAACCCCGGAGAUUUCGGCAAAACGUAACCGUCCAUCAACAGUUACACGCACUCUCCAAAUUCUUCUUCAACGGUCAAGAUCACUCCUCAGAUGCGUUAGUUUUGUUCCCGUUACGGAUACGGGACAUGUACCCCCUACGCGUAAAAACACACUAAACUCGUAUAAACUCUACAGUAUACGAGGCGAUUAAGUUUCCUCCCCGUCCUCGGCUCCUCCCCUUCCCCCGCGUCAUAUAAUAGGGUUUUCCAAAGCCAUAAAGAAAAAUCAACCAAAACCAAAAAAGACAAAUUAUUACAAGAGAAACAGAUACAUACNNNNNNNNNNNNNNNNNNNNNNNNNGGCGGCGGCGGCGGCUAGGAUAAGGGGGGAAUUGGAUUCGGAGUCGUCUUCUUCCGGCCCCCCGGCGACGGGACGGCUCGGUCCGGGGAUGGCCGUGUGAGAGCGCUUGUUCCGAUUCUUCGUUGGCUUAGUUGAUAGGUUGGUUAUGAGGGGGGGAAUAAUUCGAAAAGGAGGAGCUGAUUCUUGUAGAUAGAUAGAUGUUGCUCUUUCCGUCAUGGAGAAAGGCGAGCCCGCAUUCAAGCCAGAGUGGUUGAAAUCGUCCAACGGAAGCACGAGCAGCAAUGCCUCUUCGAACCACCUCACCGGCACUUCUUCCCAUUCGAGUGCGUAUUCUCCUUGCUCUCGUCACUUUAAUCAGCUUUCAAUUCUCGAUAUUUCGUAUAUUGAUGCGCGUUUUUCAAUGCUGUAGAUGAACACGGUGCAGGGAUUUCCUCUCGAAACAGACUGCCCGCUGCCGUGGGCGACCGCGACAGGGGUUUGUUAUCCUCCGCCAGACGGAGUUCAAGCUUGAAUGGGAAAUCUAGGGCUUACAGUAGUUUUGGUAGGAGCAACCGCGAUAGAGAGCGGGAAAAGGAUCUUGAUUUGCUUGACAGAGAGAGUAGGUCGGUUCUUCUCGACAAUGGUUACAAUGACCGUUUCGAUUCGUUAAUAGCGAGUAGGUCGGAAAAGGAUAGUUUGAGGCGGUCGCGCUCCAUGGUGUCGGGGAGGCCGGUAGACACGUGGACAAAAACAGUAGGAACUAACUCAAAAAAUGAUGUUCCUUCCAGGGGGACUAUGAGUAAUGCCUCCUUUGAAAAAGACUUUCCAUCCCUUGGUGCCGAAGAGAAGAAUGGACGGCUAGAUGUGGGUAGGGUUUCAUCUCCAGGUAUUAGCACCCCACUUCAAAGCAUUCCGUUAAGUGUCACAGCCAUAUCUGGAAUUAAUAGCUGGAAUUCUGUGUUGGCUGAAGUGCCUAAGAUGGUCGGAUCAAACGGACCCCAAUCUGCACCUACUAAUCAAGUUCCUUCGACCCCAAGCACUUCGACGGGCCUAAAUAUGGCUGAAACAGUAGCACAGGCUCCAUCACGAUCUCGUAAUGCACCUCAGGUCGACUAAUACCUGCGAUAUUUUUUUGUUUUGUUUUUUUCAUUGAAAGUCCUUUCCUAUUCUAUCUAAUUAUGUUAUGAUGUUCUAUUUUCCAGUUAUCAGUUGAGACACAGAGGAUUGAAGAACUAACCAUUAGACAAUGCAAGCAGCUAAUACCAGUGACGCCUUCAACAACUAAAAGUUUGGUAGGUUCCUUACCUUUUCCAAGUUAACUUCCUUCUGUUAUUCUAUUGAAUACCCUGUUCAUUUGCAAUCGGUAAUAGCAUGAUGUUUCCCGAUUUGCACCUUAUCAUUACAACGGAAUCUCCACCAAUGGCAUGUCCAUUGUGUGGUUGUCGCAUUCUGUUGGAUUUAAUUUUGGUCUCAUUAUGAUACUAAUGAUUAUUAGCCAGAUUUACUAUUAGCUAUACAACUUGGUGAGUCUUCAAAUAUCUCUUCUCUAACACAUUAGCUAAUAGUUGUCGUUGCAUGACGAACUUGGUGAAUGUCUAUAUGGCCAUAAAUAAAACCUCAUGCAUGUUUGUUUGUAGGCUUGUCUUGGUGCUUAACGUCUCCUUGUUAACAUCUCCCUGUAGAUGGCUCAUUCACUACUUUAUGCAUAUUUUAUUUUAUUUUGUUAUAUAUAUAUAUAUAUAUGUAUAUAUAUAAAUGUAUAUAUAUAUGUAUAUAUAUAUGUGUAUAUAUAUAUGUAUAUAUAUAUAUGUGUAUAUAUAUAUGUAUAUAUAUAUAUAUAUAUAUAUAUAUAUAAAUAUAUAUAUAUAUAUUAUAAUCUAUAUUAUAUAUAGCUUAUGAGUAGUCUCCUAUAUAUCUAUAGUACCGGGUCUCCGGUACUAUAGUCUCGUUUCGAUCUUAAGGGUUCAAUCAACGAUCACAGCGUUAAAACUAUCUAGGGUAUUUAAAGUUUUAGAAUAAAAUUUUAUAUUUUUCGACAUAGUUUACUUUAUGAUCAAACCAUUUCAAAAUUGUCAAUUUUCAUGGCUACUUAUGGCGAGUUUGGAGUUUAACGGUGUAGAAGAAUUUAAAUUCUUUAAAUUUUGAUAGAAACAAUGGUUUUGAACUAUCUAGAUUAAGGUUAACAUUCUUGAUCUUGAAUUUAAAAGUUCUAUACUCAAAUUUUAAAGAUUAUUCAAUUUUCACCGUCCAUUUUGACAUAAUUUAUUUAUUAAGUAAACGAUGUCGAAAAAAACUAAAAUUUUACUCCUAAAAACUUCAUAUACCCUAGAUCAUAUUUAACGGUGUGGAUCGUUAAUUUGAACACCCUAAGAUCGAAAACAAGACUAUAGUACCGGAGCUCCGGUACUAUAGAUAGUAUAGUAGCCUAAUUCUAUAUAU
RNAcentral lists this long non-coding RNA (63276 nucleotides) under Ananas comosus (pineapple). RNAcentral's name for it is "long non-coding RNA (ACOM_LNC010762)". Lineage: Eukaryota; Viridiplantae; Streptophyta; Magnoliopsida; Poales; Bromeliaceae. The record is from RNAcentral.